GAGAGAGAGAGAGAGAGAGUUUGACAAGCAAUGAAUGAUGCUUCGAAAUGUAGCAAGAAGAACGGCGACAGGGGAGCACACGACACUGUAUCGACUCAGUGUCGCAGUGAGGCACUGUAGCAGGAGCAGCUGCUGGAAGAGGAGGUGAUGUUUCAUGUUUCACGCACCGUCUUCUGCUGAUCUCGCAAGAAGCGCAACCACGGGAGGACCAGUCAAGUACCACCCAACAACGGUGCCCCGUGGUAACACGGAAACCGGUUUCGGAACUGUUCCAAGAGAAAGAAGGCACAUGAGAGAGAGAGAGAGAGAGAGAGAGAGAGAGAGAGAGAAAGGAUAAUGGAUGUGGACAUGACGAUAAAAGAUUGGUCUGACCGAGAUUUCCAUUUCUAUGCUUCGCAGGCUUUUCCCACUUUCGCUUUACCUCUUUUUUUCUCGCUCCUACACAUGCUCUUUUGAGAUGAGAUGGACUUCACAUUCCUCCAUCUCCCCAACUAGGCAUCACCACCAAUCAACUCGAACGCAUGGUUCCUUGCUAUACUCUACGCUUAAGAUUCGUACUGUCAUAUCAUAUUUUAAUCGAGUCAACCUUACAUCCCAUGUUAAAUCAAAGCAUGGAAACUAAACAAAGGGAUAGACAAGGGAAUGCUAGUGAUGUAGCGGACAUUAUGCAGUAUGUAUGUAAUAGUUGUUGCUUCGAUGAUUCCCGCAGAGUGUUCACAGAAGGCAGGGAAUUACAAGUGCCGAAACGUCUGUGCAGCGCUCAUUCCUCAUCCCAGCUUCUCCCUCCUCUUGCACCGUCACUCGUUUGUCUCAUUUCUCCCACACACAUACACACGCAACCAGCGGACACCUCACACACGGAUGCCCCCUGUUCCAACACCUCCAUACGAAACAAAAGAACGAGAGGGCACGGACAACAAAAAGUGGAUCCCUUUGAGCAGUGCUGGAGGAGAAGGAAUGGACCAUGUCACCUUAGGUGUGGGGUGCGCGUUCUUUGGGAUCAUGAUUGGUCACUUUCAAGUUUGGCUUGCUCGACAUGUUAUCCCUCCUUUUCCCCGUCCGAACACAGAUGUCCCCGCUUCCCCUCACGCCAAGCUACACAAAGAAGAUAACAUCUGCGAGCUGCGGGCGAGAACACCGGGAUGUGUUGUGUUGGAAACCGAGUGGAUGGAUGCAACGUCGCUGAUCGAGGCGCUACCACAACAUGCCAACACAAUAAUACUUGAUUAAGACAAUUCGUGGGAGAUGCUCCAAAGCGGAGCCUGCGUUGAUCUAAGUCUCCAAACUUACUCAUGCCUAGUUUUGACUGUUUCGCAUGUGAGUGCGAACAGUGGCAGUAACUCGAGAACCUUUACAGAGCUGUGCAGGUUAGCAGUAGGAUCAGCUACAGAACUGACUCUACGUCACUGGAUCGUGAGAACCUUAACACUGGCCACGUACUGUGGAGGUACCGGGUUGGGUAUGCUGAAGUCUCGGAGUCCGUCUUCUCCCUCGGAUCUUAGGUGGAGCUCGAUAUAUCGUGGUGGGUGGGCGAGCAUCGUUCAACAUGUAGGGGCAGUGAUGCACGUAGGGGAAGACAUGGAUGCAUGUAUGUGGCUUUGACCCUCUCGUAUCGCAUGGUUUUACGGGGGGUCAUCAAGGGACGUGCGCGUUCUGCAUGUGUUGGCUGUUUCCCUCUGUUUGCAAGUGAGGCCAGAUUAAUGAUGCAUAUAGAUUACGAAAUAUUAUAUCGUAUCAUCAUCCUGAAUGCAUGAGAGUGGAAGUAGAGAGAGGGAUUUCUGGUUUUAAAUAGUAAUAGCGGGGAGGGGUGAUAGCCGGAAGAGAAUUUGAAAAAAAUGAUGGGAAAAUGGGAUUUGAGAAGGAAUAGGUGAUGAAGAAGUGGUAAAAGGAUUUAAAAGUGAUUGUAUCAAUGAUACUUCAAAAGAUAGGAGUGAAGAAAUAUUGUUUUGGCAAGGAAGGCAUUAAUUCCAAUGAUAACAUUGAAUUAAUCAUAUCUUUGUCAAAUAUAUAUAUAGUUGGUAGUAAGGUUACAUAUAGAUAGAUGGAUUAUGAUAUGAUGAGGGUAAUAAUAACGAUGGGACGUAAACUGACGUCGUCGCCUGCUCUUGGGUGACGUCUCCUGUGUCACGUGAAUCGAGGAGACACAUGGGUCAUCUGUCUCGGUCUGACCUGAUAGCACUGGGUCGAGACAGACCAGAAUGCCGACCGAGGCACGUCGCCAUCCUGCAAGAGCCCGAUCCUUCACGCAACCCCAACACCGGAGUCAGAUGCCUUCCCAGGUACGGUCCUGCUCCCUGCAAGUGGGCACAUCAACAAUGGUGACCUUUCCUAUAAAAACCCUUGCGUUCGAAACGAGGGAGGAGGGGAAAAAGGCCUCAUAAGAUUAUCGACUGACUUGAUCGUCGGAGGGGUCGGGUCGAGCUCUCCCGACCCGACCUGUAUGCAGGGACAAAGACGGAGCGCCACUCCACCGUGUGCCUAGGCGAGGAGUUCCCUACCGGAGGAAACGACUGCCCCGUCGAGACCGGAUCAACACACUCGACUACCUCAACACUCUCAAGGGUAAUCCCGAGAGAUCCUCGCUCAUUCGAAUUUGAACUCAACUGCGUUGACCCCGAGGCCGCGGCUUAAAGCUGUUGACACAACAUGAUACAACUUUUUGGUGACAUAGAAUGGUUGAGGAGAUGUGGCCAUCUCGGUAAGCAUUGCUAGAGAAGGUGUGGCGUCUUUUGAGGAGGCUCACGAAGGGAUAUUGUGAUUGGACUAGCUUGUUUUUGUGUCAAAUUUAAUAGGCCAUAGAAGAAAUCACCUUGCUCGUUAGAGAUAACCAGAGAAGAUGGUGGGAUGUUGGAGGGAGAAGCAUAAGGAGGAGGUGCAGAUGUAUUAGUGUUGGACGUAAGGGAAACCAAAGAUGAAUUUGGAUAAUACUCCACUUUAUGACAUGCUCUGGGAGUAAUUAAUUUUAUAAGCUGUAGUUUGAAAAAAAAAGGGGUCUCUCCAAUCUUAAUCUAUAGUCCUUAGGGAAGAGAGGAGAUAGGUCGAUAAGGAUACAUGUUCUUGCAAAUUUGCCUCCAUCACAUUUGAUAGUAAUAUCAUCAUCUAUCUCGACAGGUUUGCCUCAUAGAGCAUUAAUUUAAUAUAGAAUAUAGAAAUUUAAAAAUUCAAGAAGGAGAUCGAUGAAAUGGAUCUAAAUUGGCAUUUGCUUAACCAUGUCAUGUCCUAUAAGGGGAAGAAAGUUGUCUCUCCAAGGAAGAAGACAGAGGAGAGGGCUUGACUCUGAAAGAACAAAGGUCUCCCUCCCUAUAAGAAUAGAAGUCAUCUCUUCUUUCCAGUGGAAAUGAAAACAAAAAAUAUCCUAUUUGGAUACUAUAGGAAGGAUUCUACAGUUUAGGAAGAUUGAUAUUUAGGAUUUUAAGAGUUGGGGCCUUACCAAAAAAUUUGCCAUAGAGAUUACCAAAAUGAUUUAAUGAGAAAUCAAUAUGAUAUUUUAUUUAUUUAUUAAAAAAUAUUUUAUAUUUAUUUAUAUGAUUAUUUUUAUUUAAUUAUAAAUUUAGGCCAUGUAAAUUUUUUAUAAGAUUAUGUAUAUUAUUUACUUAUUAAUUUAAAUAAAAAUAUGUAUUUACUUUUGAAUAAAUAUUAAAACAUAUUAUAAUGAUAAAUUUAUCAUAAAAUAUUCAUAAAAUUUUAAUAUACAAUUUUAGCAAACAAAACUGAUGUCUAUCUGUUUUUUUUUUUCCAAAGUAUAUUGAGAGGAAUAUACUUAUGUGAUAUAUUUUUUAAUAUACACGUGUCAAAUUCCAUCAACGUGGAUUACCCAAACCGACGGAUUACUCUUCGUGACGUCAUAUUCUGAUUUAUUUGGGAAAAAAUUGAAGGCAGAAAACACGUGCCAAGUGCCAGCGUCACUGUGGCGGCCCGCGCUCGGCCCCUGAGACAUUGCCCCUUGCGUCAUCGGCGGCGGCGACGCCAGCGCAUUGGCGGAGGUAGCCGGAGAAGAAGGAGACGAAGAUGAAGGCGCUGAUAAGGACGAUGACGACGGGCAUGGGCCCAGCGGCGGGUCCCGGGAGUUGACCAACCAAUUCCGAUUGGCACGCGGACUCCAUCGAGUGGGUUUUAACGGUUCAACCCGCGGACUUGCAAAUUCACAGUUAGCUCUUGAAAUAUAUUGACAUCUCACGUAGCAAAAUAUACAGCAGUCUUUGAUUGAAAAGCACUUGGCUGCAAUUGUGGUACUCUGUUCUCGUAUAUGAAUUCAGUAUUCUCUGUCACGUCCAUGUUAUUAUCGAUAAAGGGAUCAAAGAGAGAUUACACUGCCGCAUAGUGCUUCUUCGACAAACUUACAGCAAUGAAGUGUUGCUGAAUAGUAUGCUCUCGAGAAUGUAGUAAGAAACUAUAGAAAGGAACUCAUGUACAAGUUUAAUCCCUAACAGAGCAAAAACAUAGGAUAACAAUGAUGGAUUAGGGAACCCAGAGAGAAUUUUGAGGCAUCCAUCAUUAUUUGGGCUUCAGAGAGGCCGCGAGACAUUAACUGUAUGGGUGGCCCAUUUCAAGAAAGAAGACGCAAGUUCUUGGGAUCAGAAAAGAACAAAAAGACCAAGGAUUAGAAUCAACAACAUAGAAUAAUGUCAUUUGCAUCGAGAUUCCAGUUAAAACAACUCUCAAUCAUCUACAUUAAUAAUUCAAGCAAAGGACGAACUUAAUGCACGAAACUUCGACCAAUGUGGGAUUUAUGAAGAGGACAAAAGUUAAUUUUGUAUUUUAGUACUUCAAAUAAUACAAAAGAUAUAACCAUAGAUUGCAUGAUCUUUAUAAGAUUAGACACAUAGAAGAUACACAGGUUUUUGCCGAGCUGGAGCUUCGAGGGACUUGUGCAAUCGAACAAUUUCUUUAUUUGUUUGUUUGUUUUUAUUAUUUUUCUCUUUGGAUUCUCCUAAGCUCCAAUCAUGAACCAUCGAUGAUCAUUGUCGGAUACGACUGGAUGAAUGACUUGAGCAGGACCAACGAUUCCUCCUCCACAGCUCCAAGUCUCUCUGCAAAACGGGACACCUUUCUGCAUCCAUGAGAUGACAGGGGUGUCAUCACUUUACCCUGUACCUCUUCCUCCUGCUUGUGCGGUCCCUAGUCGGAGAAACGACGUGCAAUGCAGCACUAGGAUGGAUCAAACAAGAGGGGAACAAUAUGGAGUCCAAUCCUGGCCUGUGUACAGAAACUACGCCUCAUGCUUUUAGCAUUUAAAGAACAAUAAAUGCUCUUUGCAUGUCCACCAACUCUAGCAAUAAAAUUUCAAUAAAUGUUACCUUUAAACUAUUAUUAUGUUCGUGUGACUUGCGCCAUUCAUUAUCUCCAUAUUAGAGAGUCAGAUCUUACCUGAGUUUUGGUCAUGUUGAAAGAGAGCUAAUCUUUGCAGUAAAAUUGUGUGAUACAUGAAUGAAAUGGCUUAGAUGUGUUAGCCAGCCAUUCACAUGCCCAAAGAAGGUCGAUGGGAAAUUAGAACCAUCUUGUUGGUAGAGUCUCGAGUCGAGCCAUCUAAAAAUAAAUCAUAAAUUCUUUUUGAUAUUCUUUAUAAAAGAAUUGUCUAUGAAUUUUGAAAUGCUUAAAAAUGCGAAAUCAUUUGUUUCGAAGCACUCUAACAUAUGCAUCAAGCGAAAGGAAAAAAAUAAUAUUUUAGACAAAAAUAUUCUCAUCAGAUCAAGAACACAUACGUAGGUAUCAACAAAAGUCUGCAUGAAACUCUUUAGAUGAGGUUCGAUCGUAUCGAUUGUUGUUUUGUAGAAUUGGUUUUUACACCGUUUAUCAUAUAAUAAUAGUUCGAUGAACGUAAAAAACACAUCACAAUCAUAUGAAUAUUUGGUUUCUAAAUAUUUUGAAUUUCCUAGAUCGAGGCCUUUCAUGACUGAUCUGAAAUCAUCUCUUUCUACGUACCCACGUAUACUUGCAUGUACAGUACAGAAGAGAAAAGCCAUCAAAAUCAUGCUUAAUCCUCGCAACACUUGGUCGUUAACUGAGUGAGAUUUGGUUUUAGAUAUACACAGAAAAGUAUAGUAAAUUAGACAAAAAGCAAAAAAAAAAAGAAAUCCCUGGAAUUGUUAGCAAAAGAAUCACAACUAUUUGAGCAUAUUAAUCAUCUUUCGGUUGUUAUUUCUUAUUAUCAUAGAGAAAAAAAGGUUGAACGAUUACGUUUGUCCGAGUCUCACACAUACGGCCCUCCGCAUUCAAAUUGGUUCAAAUCACCAUGAAAACCUCGAGGGUAUCAGUGUCCUUUUCUUCUUGUCGUAAAAUACGAAAUCAUUGGGAACUCAUGCAAUUGAAAGACCGGAUGUCUCCAAGGCCUCAUCAUGAGGAUAGUACCCAAACAUAACGAGCAUUUUAAUGAGGACAAAAUGCACUGUUCAUGGGAACAAUUAGUAAGGGUAGGAGUGCUUCGUUCUUAAAAUUAGUGAGUGUAUUGAGGCUACAACAGCUUCACUCCUUACCUCGUGUGUGCUAAUAAAUGGAGAUGAAUAAACCAAUACAUAUUGAAUGUCUGCAAUCUUAUGCUUAGCCCCUCGAUCAUAGUUUCAUUUUUCAUAAGGCAUCUCCAGCUGCGUUACGGUAACAUAUAUAUAUAUUUUAUGUAAUUCAUUUUUACUUAGCGUAAUGAUAGGCUUAUGGACCCAACCACAGAACUAUAUGUAUUGCUUAUCUGCAGAUGUUGUGAAAGAAAAAGAUGAGAGAAGAUGUUUAGAUUUCUGCAAAUGAAAACAUAAACAAAAAGGAAGGCGAAAUUAUUUGAACUGAUUCUAACAGGAGAUCAGUGUUUGCAUGCAUGCAUUCGACUGAUUCAUGCAUCAGUAGUGUCUUUUUGCAUUCACGGUUCCCAAGCCUCAUGUGACUCGUACGAACACUUUUUGACUUGCUGUCCGAAUCAUAAAGGUUGAGAGGGAGAACUGUACGCAAUAUUCCGUGGGUCGUUCUGAAUACGUAUCCAGAGGCUGCAGUCUGCAGCUUAUAAUGCAAGAGAGGGAGAGGGGAGAAGAGGGAAGGAGAGAGAGAGAGAGAGAGAGGGCGGGCGUCGUCAGCAAACCCGACGGUGGCAACACGCCAAAUCACGUACGUCCGCGUGUUUCUGGGUUGCCUCUCGUGAACGCCCCCAUGCAAAUCUUUGUACGAUAUAUCCCUCUAAAAACACCCCAAAAAAAAAAGAUAUUUAUCACCUUAAUUUAAUGCACAAUACAAAUAAUGCAUAUUCCAUACCCACGAAGAGAAGAAAGAUAUGAAAACAGAAGAGGGAAGAAAAUAUACCACAGAACUAGUAAGUAUUUUUUUUCAAUCAUUACUAUGGUAAUAAAAAGUACUCCACAUCGAUUCAUUUAACACAAGAUGUCAAUAUUCGAAUUAAGAAGCCAAGUAUGAGUUGAGCUUGCCAAAGUUAUAUAUAUCAUUACCAUAAUCGAAAAACUUGAGCUUCAAUUUGUGGUCAAACUUUUCCUUAGUCCUUGACGAUGUAAGAUCCUUUUACAUAGUUUUUUUGUUUUGUUCCCAAGUAUCAUUCGGACAUACAAACUUGUCCUUUACAUUGGUUGUGAAAUCAAAUUCCAGUUAUCAUUCUUGAAGCUGUGAUCUGUGAUCUGAUGUGUGAAAGUUUUUUUUUCCAUUUAAUUUUCUCAAUUAGUUUUCACAAGAAAAUAAGGCUGUCAUAUGUGUAUGGAAGAGAAAUAUUAUGUAGCUUUUAAAUGGAAGUAAAUAUAUGCAGAAUUGAUGGUUCAUUUAUGAAAUAACAACAAGUAUUUUGUAAUCAAAUAUGAAGUUUAGACUGUGACAACACACUCGAUUGACAUCAAGAGGAAGUGCAAAUCUAUCAUAAGCAUAAUAUUGAAUCUUGACCCAAUCUACUCAUAAGCAUAUCUUUAUUACUAAAAGUUAUAUUGUCAGAAGCACAAGUAAGUCAUUAGAGCUAGGAAAUGGGGGAUGAACUUUUAUCCACUUAAUGUUAUUGUGCCUUUCUUUACAAGGAAUAUGAUAAAACUAAAAAAUAUAUACAAUUAUAUCUUUCUUCUUCCUUUGAUCAAUCUUAUACCAUUAAAUUGUGAUGAGGAACUGUUAAAUCACAGCCCUGAAAGACUACUUUUUGCUACCAAAAUUUUUAAGAUCUAAUCACAGCUUUUCAACUCUUGAUUUAAUAAAAGUUUAUUAAAAUUACCUUUUACUACCAAAACAUGGGACGGUUCAAAUUAAUCCGAUAACAUUUUCUUCCACUCAUGUCCACUAAGCAUUAUAGACAUAGAUUGGACAAUUGAAUUUUAUACUUUGAAUAAGUAUCUCAUGACCUAAUCGGUGGGCAAAAUCGAGGUCGUAAAGGUUAACUAAAAUUUAUAACAAUUAAGGUAUUUUUUAGAUUUUACAAAGGAUGUGAGAUCAUGAUAAACCAAAUAAUAAUACAUUAGAAAAAAAAAUAUUUCAUCUCAUCAAGGUGAAGACUAUUUCUAAAAAUUAUAUUGUCUUUCUCCUCUCUUUAAAAAGAAAAUAAUACAUUAGAAAGACUAUUUUUAAAGAAAGGAAGAUUUGUUUUUCUCCUCUCUUUUUCCUAUUGUCUUUACAUUAGUAGUAUCAUUUGGUUUCCAUAAGUGUUAACUUGCCUGCAUACAGAAUCGAUCUAUCUUUGAUGAGAAAACCAAUAGCUCACAUGAUGAGGAAGUAAUUCCUGACGAUGAAUUAAUACAAAUAGAAGCAAAAUUUUGAAAGGCCAAAACACAGUAAUCAUUUAUAAUCUUCACAUCUUCUUUAUCGAAUAAAAAAAAUUACAAAGAUCAAAUAUAUUGUGAUUAAAUAUAUUCAUGAGCAAGUCUUGGAUUCAUUUAUCCCCAGUGGUGCACAGUCAAUAUAACUCUUUCAGCACAUCUUUGUCAUAUUUUCCAACAAGCAACUAUUUAGAACAGAAACAUUCUUAUCACUCUCUUCCAAGUUCAUUUUUAUGGACAUCAAUCAUUUCAGUUUGUUAGACAUGAUAAUGAUGUAUCUAAUGAUUGGGUUUACCAAACAAGAAUCUUCUAAAUUAUUCAGCACUCACUAUUUCCUCAGUGGAUGUUCAGCAUCAAGCAAUAGGACCCCUCCUCUAUUUAUGACUGUCAGUAGAAUCAUUGUUAGGUUUCUGACCACAGCCAUUGCAACUUUGUAAUAGAUCAUGUUUUUUGUGUCGGGCUUGAAGUUUUUGGCUAUUGAUAAAAUUUGGUUUUUUUACCAUAGUAAAACUUUAGGGUCAAAUACAGUAGAAGAGUGUUUGCUAUGUUAUCCUUUCUUACAUUUUGGUAAACUUGGCAAUAUGGAAUACAAACCUUAGAAAUAGCUGUCCCUGUAAUUUUUCUUAUUUUUGGACAAAUUUGUUAAAUUUCAUUAUUACAUGAUAAUCCCUCUUAUUUUUCUAUGCAUGCCAUGGUCUUCUAUUUUUAAGUCAACAUCUUCUGAAUAAACCAACUAAAUAUAAAUAAAACAAAAUCAUUUUUGCACCUAAUUGUGCAUAAUCAUAUAUCUAAAAAAGUGUGCUACUUCAAUCAAAUAACAAGAAAAUUGGAAAUGAAGCAAAUGAUUUGGAUUUUAUUCUCGACUCUAAUCUCCAUUCCCAUUUUUCAUGUAAGCUCAUUGUGACUGACAGAUAAUGCAGAAGAGAAAUAAAAUUCAUUAGAAAUUUAGGAUAUUCCUUAUAAUAUUUCAUGUCGAAUACUAAUGAAGAUUAAUAAAUAUUCUUAGUGGCGAAGAUGAAAUUCGAGCCUAGGACUUUGUGAUAAAUCGUCAAGAUCUUUAUUAGUUAAACUAAUUAGCACCUUUAACACCUUUAGUUAAACUUGUUAUUAGGUAAAUAACAAGUGUUUAGUGACUAAUAGCAAAGGUCAUAUAGACUUGUCUACAGAAAAGCCCAAGGUUUUACUAUGUGCACAACAUUUUUUAUCUUUUAAAAAAUAACAUAUGAAUGCUGAAAAUUUUAAAAUAGUAUAUAUAUUACUCUAAAUAUUAGUAUUCUUCCACAUUUGCCACUUCAGCUACCAUUAGUCAACAUACCAAGUAUAACCACUACUAUCUAUGUUACUGAAUUUUAAAUAAAUAUUUGAAAUGUAAAAUAGAAAUUUUAUUUAAAAUUUUAUUAUUUUAAUAGAGCUAUUAAUAUAAUCAAUAUAUUAAUAAAUGAUUUUUUUUUUCUUGAAAAGAAUCCAAAUUCUAAGAAACCAAUUAAAUUAGUAUCAGUAAUCCAACAUGUUGACUAAAAAUAGAUUCAUAUUGGAAUCCAUUCAAGAAUUAGAGCUAUGAUCCAACUAGAUUUAAAUCAAUUACAUUUAUUUGUUUCUCCACAAAUUAUGAUUUGAAUUUCUCAAAUAAUAAAUAUUGUUUAAAAGCCGUUUAAAUUGCUUUUGAAUUAUAGUAAUAGGUUGAGUUCCUAGCUCGGUAUCUCGGAUCAAAAUUGAUUUGUAUUCAAUGCAAUUAUCGUUGAAUAAUUGGACCAGGAUUCUAAUUAGAUUUCGAUCAAUAUUCUACUUAAAUCAGAUUCUGUCACGGAUUGGGUUACAAUCAACCACUCGAGAUGUUGAUCAUCUUAGAGGCAAUGUUGUUAUAUGAAUAAAUUGCACAAGUAGUUAAUUGAACAUUUUUUGGUCUUUCUUCUUUUAACUUUAAGACUUAAAUAUACUUAAACAACAGAAUAUGUAUGAUCAUUCAUUCAUCGAAGGUAACGAAGCAUUUGGCUUUCCCUAUAUGAUUUGAAUCUAAGUAGUUCAUAUUUCUUAAUAGAAUUUAAUUUGGUAUUUUUAUUUAGAAAAUGACGUUUUGAGUUUCUUUGAACUUUCAGUGAUAGAUAUGAUGCUUAGGAGUGCUUUUGCGUUGGUUGAUUAUGAUAUGCUGGCACGGGAACCAAUAAAAAAGCUCAGAAUCGAGAAAAACCUUCAAAACCUCGACACUCGAUCCAAGUGGAAAUCAAGUCCUCAGCUUCUCAAAGACUCGGAAGGAAGCGAGACAGAGCACUCAAAGCUUCUUCGAUAGAUUAACAUUCUUGAACAGGAGAGAUUGUUGGGUGUGGACGAGUAGUGUCACAUGAGGAAAUAAAGGAUAAUAUCAGGAACCGGUAGACUGUGAGUUUCAUGAUUCAUGUGAAAUAUAAGAUGUAAUGGUUGCGUAUAAUGAUUAGAUACAUUUAGAAACUUCUAUGCAUCAGAAUGGUUUUAUGAUUGCACUCAGAAGAUACUUGGAACUCGUGAGUUCAUGACCAGCUGAACAUAUUAAUAGUAGUGAUGAUGAUGAUAGAACUGAUGACGAUGCUUGUGGAUCGAUGAAUGAGAGCCAACUUGUGUUUGUGAGACUGACGAAGCACGAACUCUCGUUCUCGAGUUGUGGUUUAAUGUCGUUUGCGUGUUGUUCAUGGACUUUGAUUUCAUGUGCCUGUCUGUGGUUGGUGAUAGUAACUUGAAGAUGGAGACAGAAGCCGCAGGGGGUUCUCAUGCCCCACGCUGUUCCCAUCUCUCUCUCUCUCUCUCUCUCUCUCUCUCUCUCUCUCUCUCUCUCUCUGUGCAUGAGUAUGCAUAUGAUACGGAGUUUUCCAAGAAACCACAAGAUCGGGUAGGUUCAUGCAUUGGUUCGCAGUGUCAUGAAGUCCGCCAACGACGAAGCCCGUGAUGUUGUCAUAGUUGAAUCUUUGUCGGAAUGUUACGGCAUUGCUGUUUCCCUCAUCAAUACAAUCCUAUUUGAUUAUAUCAUCAUGAUGCAUUAUGCUCGACAGCAGAAACACAUGCAUGAGCAAAAAAUUGGCUGUCGUCAUACAAUGGCUUCUUCCAGAAAAGAUUAAAAAUGCCAUAUUAGAUUAUGUAAGACGUAAAUAAUAUAAUUAUUUAUAUCCUUCGACUAUCAACAAUCAUCCACAAGUUUCUGUACAAAAUCACAAAAGGAAGACAUCUUUUUAACGUGUUGAGUUCAUAAUCUUUGAAAUAUUUUGUUCAUUGUGUCUUUUCUAUGUAAUUAUUCUCGAUAUCAUCUUACCUUUUGUGGAGUUUCUGUUUAUGAGAAUAGUAACGCCUCUUUAGCAAUUCACAAACUCUCCGCUUUUCUUCAACACCAUUCCACCAAAUCAAACUUUUCAUGAGAAACUGUUUUCAUGGUAGCUAUAAUUCCUGUUCAAUAUUAAUUAUAUAUAUAUAAUAGUAUUUUGGUUUUUCUAACACUAAAAUUCCACUUUGUUACCUAAGAGGUAAAAGCAAAAACCAAGUUUUUUUUUCGUAGCAAAGGAAAGAAAAUAAAAUAAUAGAAAGACAGAGGAGAUUAUAUAAGUGAAAGAUCAUCUCACACUAUUUUCUUCCCGAACUCACUUUAGGAGGAUUCUUUAAUUUGUUGUCAACUACAAGUGUUAGAAGACAGAACGAUCGAUUUGAAUCUUUGAAUCAUUAACUUGGUUAAAACAAGAACAAUCCAAGGGAGGGUUGUUCACAGAAACAAUAGAGAAAAAGGCACAAGGCGUGAAUGAAUGAUGUAUAUCAUAAAGACGCUGAAACACUUACUUGUAUUCUGAGAGGUGCCAAUGCCAAAGAACUCAUGAAAAAGCAAUUGCGCUCUUCGUGAUCUUGACUUUAAAGCUCCUUACAUGCAUGCGAUGCAGCACUCCAGAACACAAACCGUCUUCAUAUACGUGCAAAACACAGACAUUAGUAUCUCACUUUUGCCUACAUCCUACGGCGACAAAAGAAGGGUGGGAUGGUAGGUAUAAAGGUCGUACAUGGGAGUAUUGACGAGUUACUAUCAACGGAAAGAUGAGACAAAAGCGAUCGAGAAGACUGUGCAGAACACAGUGUCUACGGAUUCAUCUCCCAGACUGAUAUAUCCCGACGCACGUCGCUGCGCUUUGUCUUCACCGGAUCAGAGUGUUGGCACUUGGGAAUGCAGCCUACUAACGUUGCAUGAUGCUGUGUGUGCUUCCAUGGCAGGAGUUAUCAUGACGGUGACACGUAAACGACAGAGGAGGAGCCAUGGCACAGUCAUACGGCACAUCCAGGCAAAUCGUUCCCUUCUAUACUGUUGAUAGAGACAAAACCUUUGGGAGGAAAUGGUUUGCUCUUAUGUGGAAGUUGGUAUUUUGGAUGUAUAGUAUGCGUUUCUUGCAAGUAUAGGGGGGCGUUGCAAGUGCAUGCAUGUACUUUGGCACGAGGAACAAGAGACGUCAACACUGGAAAACCCAAUUAUACCAUUUUGUUUUAUUUGAUAACCUAAGAUAUAUAUAUAUAUAUAUAUAUUCAUUUUUUGAUAAAUGAGUAAACUAUGUCGGUCAAUAUUUUAUGCAUUAAGUAUAUAUCAGAUGAGAGUUUAGAAUUUUAAUCUUUGAUAAAUGAGUUUAAUACACUAUCAGUAGAUUAAUAUUUUAGGUGUAAAAUAUAUGGAAUCCUUUAAUAAGUGAGUCUGGUAUCCCAAAAAAUAUAUGUCAGCAUAAGAACCUUAUUUAAGGUAAGGUAAAAGAAGAAUGAGUAAAAAAGUUGUAAGUGAUUUCCUGUAAUUUACCAAAUAAAUCCGUCGACAAAGAUAAAUUCGAAAUCCAACCCCCGUGAACAUUCUUAGAUCUUUCUGGCCAUUAUUGCAUGGACGACCUGACACCGUCGUCCCCACGCGAUCCACAGCGUACCAGCACGAGCAUUCAAUUGUUAUCACCUUAACAGUGGUGUCACACAACCCCCUGAUAUGGAAUCAUUCUCUGCCUCCUCCAACAGUGAAAGCUCAUGCAAUUUGUCAUCUGCAACAGCACCUUCAUUGGAAUCUUGUCUGAUCUAUCAAACAUUUCACCCCCAUUAUUACUUGGAAUCUCGCAAGUUUGGCAUAUCUACCCCUCCCAUGUAAGUGAAUUUUUGAUACAUCCAUCUAAAUUUAACUCUAUCCAUACUAGAAAAAAUCUACGAUAUGUCCAAACUCUGUAAGGACAGAGAUUGUCUCGCGAUGGAUCACAAUAAUCCCUAACAGUUAGGUGUCCUUCCUGACGCAGUCACUAGUUUUGUACAAGGGUUAGAGGAAUAAGCCUAUGGGUCUCUUCUCGGUAUUGUUGUCGCGUAUGGUGAUGUCGUCCCCGCGAACACUAUGCAUGCGACAGUCGACAUCCCAAAUUGGAGCGUAAGCUGUUGAUCGGUAGAUUUCAGGUGGGAGCAAUACAUCCUUUUUAGUCCCUUCUUACACCGUUAUUAUGCAUCGAUCCUUUUCGUAUGAAUCGCAACAAAAGAAAAGAACGAAGAAGCCUCGCCUCGAUCAUGUUCUUGCGACUACUCCAAGCUCGUGUGAUGCAGAAACCGGAUGGAGAUAAAGAGUAAAACAAGCAAAAGUUGAAGAUUUGCGGACGUAGAUAACAGGAAAAGUUUGACCUAACAAUGGACAGAGUUCCAGGGAGAAGCUUUCAGCCUUUAUGGCCGAUGACUGCAGAGGAAUUGGAGGAGGGACACUGGUGGUCACAUGGCCUUUUUCUCUUUAGCGCACAUAAGCGACAGCGCAGACACACGUCGACGCUCCAGAGGAACCCUUCAAGAUAUGUAGAGAGGGAGAGCUUCUUCUGCCAUGGCUACUUUCCUGUCAGCCUUUCCCCGUCCCCUUUUUGCCCUCGAUCUCUGUGCUUUGACAUCAGAUCAAUUAUGGACGAAUCAAAACAAAGCUCAAUUAUAACUCAUCGUAGCCAACCCCUCUACCCAUCGCCAAAUAAACUAACGCACGCCAUGUUACUUGUGUCUCUUCCCCUCCUUUGGCUUCAUCCGGAAAUGCUGUGCUGUUUCUUUUGGUUUCAUCGAGGCCUUUAAGUUUCCCUCUCCGCACGGAGGAAAGGGGCGAGCUCGCUCGGCCUGAGUGCCUUGAUUUGUGCUUUCCCCCGGAGUCGACAGCGAAGCAUAUGGCACUGGAAGCGGUGGUGUUCUCCCGAGACCUCCAUGGCUGCACCAUGAAGGAGCGGUACAACGUGGGCGGCGCAGCAUGGUGCCGUGCCUUCGCUGAGCAGAAGGGAAUGGAAUCAGAAUGUGAGGUCGGUAGUGGAAAGCAUGGGAGUUUGGACGCCCCUUGCACCUCCCUGACGCCAAAGACCGAUGCCCGCGGUGCAAACACGCCUCCGCCGGGGACUGCUGCAAAAGACGGUACUGAUGGCACCGCCGGCCACGAGGCGCCCGCCGGGCGGAGGAAGCGCAGGCGCACCAAGACAUUCAAGAACCAGGAAGAGGUGGAGAACCAGAGAAUGACCCACAUCGCCGUCGAGCGCAACCGGCGGAAGCAGAUGAACGAGUACCUCGGGGCGCUCCGGUGUCUCAUGCCGGCCUCCUACGUUCAAAGGGUUCGUCAUCCUUCCCCCCUCCCCUCCCCCACCCAUACUUAAUUCGCGUCGAUACCUAAUAGCAUGGAGGUCUCGCUUCAUUACAUCUGCUAACAACGAGCCGUGCUUUCAUUUUCGACAUCUGUGUGUGUGCCAUCUGAUGAUCUCUCUUUAUCAGAUGUCUUGUUCCUAGCGUAAAGUUUUCAGAGCCUAGUGGCAGACUUUACAACCAUGUCUGGUCAUCGUUCGGGUCCUUUGGUUCCCAAAAUGACAAAGAAUCUCACUGUCUCACAGCAAUGAGUUGAGAGAUCAUGUCAUAUGGCUGGUGGCUAUAACCAGUUCAGCUUUUAUUGCUUUACCUCUUAAUAAAGUCUCUUAAAAUGAAUGAAUGAGAAUGAGAUUUAGCGAAGCCAUCAUCAUGUCAUUCAUCAUCAACAGGGUGAUCAAGCAUCGAUCAUCGGAGGGGCGAUAAACUUCGUCAAAGAGCUCGAACAAUUAGUUCAAUCCCUCGAGGCCAGGAAGCGAAUCGAGCAAACCGCGGACGCAGCUCCUUUUGCCGACUUCUUCACCUUCCCUCAGUACUCCACCACCGCCUCCCGGGGAGCAAACAACGGCCCCGCCGGCGAAGAGGCGCAGGAGAACCGGCCGGCUCUGGCCGACAUCGAGGUGACCAUGGUGGAGACCCACGCCAAUCUGAAGGUCCUCUCCAGGCGGCGGCCGAAGCAAUUGCUGAAGAUGGUGGCGGGCCUGCACGACCUCCGGCUGACGAUUCUCCACCUCAACGUCACCACCGUCGCUGAAAUGGCCUUCUGCUCUUUCAGUCUGAAGGUAUAGCAAGUCAGCCACGCGGCACUCUUCCUACAUGGCUUGUUUGCCAUGGAAUUGAACGAACGGUGUGUCAUCGUUUUUGUUCUUCGGUUUGGUGUAGGUGGAAGACGAUUGCCAACUGAGCUCAGUGGAUGACAUAGCAACCGCAGUCCAUGAACUAGUCGGCACGAUUCAAGAGGAAGCCGACCGUGACACCACCACCUUCUGAUCCUGAUCUGAUCACAAAUAUGUAGAUGUAUUAUCCAGCGUUCUUAUAUGCAACUUUUGAAUCUUAUUUUAGCUAAUGGAAAGGCUGUGAUCGCUGUUGGUAUCUGAAUCCUUGAAGAGAAUGUGCGUAUGUGUGUGUGUGUGUUCUUCAGGAAGAGGAUCUCUCAGGCCUUUGGAUGAGAGGUUACGAGAUGAAUUGCCAUGUGAUUUCAACAAAGGGAUGGAUGUUGCAGGAAAAGGAAGAAGAGGACAAAGGGAGACUGCUUCCUCCCAUUCGUGAUGCAGUGACAACAAAAUUUGAUUCAUUGGGGCAUAAGAACUGUAGGACACAUUUACCUGAAAAUUACAUGCCUGGGGACUGAGACAAAGCAAACAUGAUCUCAUGAUCUCCAAAGUCUCACCGUCAAUCCAUGGCUGUCGAUCACGGUAUGGGCCAAAAACAGUGGUCCCCUUUAGAAGUCUCACAUUUAGAUCUAUUGCAUGUAAAAGAAGAUUUAACCAUGCAUCGUAACAUGAUUGUGUACUACUGCUAAAACCAAGGUUCCAAUAUUCUUAACCUGCUCCAGCACCUGGCUUGGAUUUAAAGCAUAAACAACUCUCAGAAAUUAAUCUUUAAAGAAUAUAUUCAGUAAACAGUUGAAUCUGUCUAAAAGGGAAAGAAGAAACUUUUAGUGACUGUAUCCAAACACAAAGCACCAUUAAGAGGGAUCAUCCAACACUUCUUGAGAUGAUGAACCACAAUCACAGACUACUACAUUUUGUUGGCCUUUCCACUGCAGGGUGUGGUGCAAAGAAAAUUUGAUGUAGACUAUUUAUGAUGGAAAGACAAUUGCAUAUUUUAAUAGCAUCCAAAAGAAUUAGUGAUUACCAGCAGCUAACAUGAAGAGUUCACAGUAAAAAUUUCUGUAGCAUGUGAGUCUUUGAGUUGCAGGUGCCAUAACAAUUCUUAAAUUCCCAUAGUUAAUCAGAUGUCCUAGAGUCAAGUUAGCAGAUUGUAAGAAACCCACAAAAGGUGGCCUGGCUUCUCAUAAAAAGAAGCUGAAAACUGUUACCUCAGAUGGAUAAUCCAAGAUCAUGACAACCAAAUACUGGAAAGUAAAAGCCUGCUAGAAGCAAACACUUUGCAGAGUUUUCAGCUAUAAACUUCCACAUUUUGGCACUUGGCACACAUACAUUUGGAGACUUGAUACUGUUAAGCCAACAGGUCCUCGAUUGGUGAAUAUGAUCACCUACACAAUUUGCAAAAUGAUGAUUAGAAGCUCGAAGAAAGAGUAAAUACACAUUGUUUCAGAAGUAAAAGUGAGAAUGAAAGAUAUAGCAAACAGUAAAAAUGCAUAUGACAAUAUGACCAGUACCUAACUAACAUUAUCAACAAUCCUUCUUAUCUGUGCACAGUUGUGAAAGCAAUACGCGUGUUGGUGGUGAAAUGAACCUAGAAAAGCAUGUGAGGGGCCACUGUUAAACACUAGAACCAAAGUAAGUUGACAGACAACAGUACAUUUAUCAUUUAGUUUAUGUAUUUGUAUAGUGCAGCGAAAAGUAAGUCCAACUGCACAUGCAUGCUGUAUGUAGAGAUUAUGGUCCCCUUACAACAGCAGAAGAAAGAGAAACAUGAACAUGUCCAUGACACCUUGGAAAUCAAAUGGAAGCUUCAUAAAUAAGAGAAGUUCAGGAUAGCAAACUAACAAAGUGUCACAGUGGUGACAAUCAAAUUUAUUGCGAAUAGUGGCCAUAAAAAACAUGCAAAAAAGGAAGCACAAUGUGAAAGAGCAUUACAGGCAAUUUCUGGAAUGAGGCCACAUAUCUAUUUCUUUUCCACAAGGAAUCCACAAGAUUUGAAUUCAACACUAUGUACUUAAUUAGCCAUGCCAUAUCUGUGAACAAUCACCUCAGUCAGUGUUUGUGUAAACAGCUUCAAAAUGUCAGAAGAUGACAUCUAGAACCAGAAGGCACUGUGACCAUCCACCAAGGAAAGGUUCUUACCUAGAUGAAACAUAAGUCAAUAAACAUGCCUUUCAGGUGGCAACAGAGGUCAACCAUCCAAAUAAUAUAUAGUGAUCUAAAGUGCCCGAGAAAAGACAAAGACAUGGUUCUUUAUGUUACAAUCAUGCUUAAUUAGCUGCAAAUAUAACAUAAUACAAGAUGAACUGUACUCCCAUAUCUAUACAAGUCUUGGGGCUCAUUACAAUGAAAUUAGACACAUUGCCUUAUCCAUCUGCAACUUGUAUGAAAAGAAUGCUGAUCUAAAAGAUAAAUGAACACUUACAAUCUUCUGCAUUAAAAUCAUUUUAUCUCAUCUACAUGAUCAGAAUUGAAUCACCAAGAAGCUCGCACAUGGGCACGCGACAUGAACACUAUACAAUAUAGACAGAGUGUCAUGACAAAUAUGGUCAACUUGUAUGGACACAAACAUUUGAUAUAUAAAAAUAUUGCAUGUAUAAUUUAGUCGAUUUCUGGUUAUCAUAUUAUAGCUUAUAAUAAUAACAAUCAUUUACAAGUUACUACAAAUUUAUAGCGAUACUAAAUUCAAAUAUAGAGUACAUAUAUAUUGCCAAAAUUUGACACAUCCAGAAGGCUUAUAUAGAUGACGCAAAUGGACCAUAUACCGAUACAUGUAUAAAUGAUAAGUGAACUAUAUGUCUUCAAGUUUCCAAAAUGUCUCCGGAAGUAUUUAACAAAUAUCCACCUAUUACAACAUGAACACAGCAAGCAUUUUGAAGUCUCGGUCCUUCAUAGUUGAAGCAGACUGGUACAGGGUCAGCUAGUUGAAGCAGAUUAUAUAUUUCUAGACUAGUUAAUAUCUUUUGCCUUCAGCCUUUAGAAUGUUGACUUCAAAUGAACUAUCCAAUUGAUCUAGCAAUACUUAUCAUGUAAUUAGAUAAUCUAGAUCAUUGGUAUAAACAUGUUAUUUGCUAAUUAGCUGACUUUACCAUUCAAGUAAAAACCAUUAGUCUCUCUAACAGAAGAUCGUAUUUAAAAGUUAACAUGAAUCAUCAUAGUCAUAAAGAGUUAUUAGUUCAUUUAUAUACCACAAAAGCAUCCUUAUUAAAUAGAUACCUACAUACAGUCAACCAUCAGAACUGUUUGGAGAUUGCCUAGUAAUUGGUCAUUCUUUAAGAUGAUAUCUGAAAAAGCUACUUCAAUAAGUUAAAGUAGUUCAUAAUUCUUAGAAUCUUGCACAAUUUUACAGUGCAUUCAAAGUUUUUAGACCCUGAAAGAUUCUAAAAAUAAUGAAGAUACAAUGAUGUUAAGCAAAUCCUUCGCAUCUUACACUAUGUCGAGGUAUUAAAAACUGGUCAGACCAGUACAUACUGACCAACAUUUACAGGUCCAACCAGGAGCUGGCAUUUUGACCAGGCACUUUCGCUCAGUCCGGAUCGAAUUGUUAUUAUCUUUGAAUCUGGACAGCAUGUCAAUAGUUGUUGACUGCCAGCAGCAGCCUUCUCCUCUCCUCCUCUUCAUCCCCAUCCUCCCCUUCCCAUCCUGUCCUCUUCUUUCUCCUCAUCUUCCUCCCAUCUUUUUUUCCUCUUUCUUUUGGUCUGUGCACAUAUGGCAUAUUUUUUUGCUGCUAUGUGUUGGAACCAGACCAGUCUGGCCAAGGACCAGUACAGAUCUAGACUAAAACUUAAAAUCUUGCACUAUCUUACAAUCCAUUCGAAUACAGAAGUUUUUAAAAUUAACGAAGACAUAAUUUAAACAACAAAUUCACACAGAAACAAAUAGCAACGUACAGAACCUUCGGAAGUGUAUUGAUGUAACAUUCUUGGGAGCAAACCAUAUAUGGAAAACUACUGGUAGAGUGCACUCAUGUCUUUUCAUACAGAUGUAAUUGAUGAUGCAGCAAACUAUGCACGGGUUAAACCACAAUUCUGUUGCAAUAUAGUGACUCUAACAACUCUUCCCUGUUUGCAUAAGACUUUCUAUAUCUACAAGUCAGGAUUUGUACUUCAUAACAGCACAUGUAACUGAAAGGAUAUACCACUGAGUUCUUCAAAAAUACCAUUCCCCUGACAGAGGUCUAUAUUAUUUUUGAACUUCUCCUAGAAAAUUUGUCAGAAACACACAGAACUAUAAGUGUUUUCUGAAGUGCCUCAACCAAAAGGUGUAUUGCACAAAUAUGUUGAGGAACACAUUAACAAUAAAUAGAACAGCAGUUAAUGAAAAGUUGUCAUUGGAAGGGAAAGCCCUAUAAUUCAUAUGAUACAACUAAGUUAUCAGUUUAAUGCUACACAUUGAUAUAAAGACCAAUGAUGAUGCUAAUAUAAGUCAUGCAAUAUGAUGACUGAUGAAACCUCCUACUGCUGUCCAUGUAACAAAGAGGAGAGUUUUCCAGUUCUAAUUGGCAUUAUACUUGUUAAAUAUCGGAAACAGCAAUCUCUACCAAAAGAAAUUUCUUCAUUAAAACAGAAAGAGGCUUUCUAAAUAAUGGGCAUCUGGCAUGGUUAUAUUGAUCAAAAAGAUAAUAAGAAGAUUUCCUUUAGCAAGCCUUGCCUCAUUGGUUUAGCAUUAUGACUUUAGCGACCAUAUAAUAUUUAGUAUAAAAUUAAUGUGAGUAGAGCCACAUAUGAUUGGUUUUUUUGGUCCAAAUUCUGUCAGAGCUAUCAUAUGGUAUUACAUAACUAAUAACAUAAUUUCUUGGUGAUGACUUGUGCCAUGAAAUUAUAAAGGAGGAACAAUUAUGUAGACACACGUCAGGCAUCCAAGAAAACAAAGAAGUAAUGCAAUUUAAUCUGCUAUAAGGCAAUAAGAUCAAUUUGUUCUACAAGUGAUGCUAAUUGUAGUCUCCCUACUCAAAGUUGUACCAGAAGAUUUUUGUUCAACAAAUUAUGAGAAAAUUUGACAUUUCAGACCAGUGUACUCGAAAUUUAUUAGAAAUCUCUUGCUAUUGUUAGGACUCUGAAGUAAGAAUUGCACAUGCUAGUCAUGUUGACCAUCUCAGUGUAUUACUGGCAUAUUGAGAUGGUACUGCAUUGGGGAAUGCCAAGUCAGUGUAUCUUGGUUUAUAAUUAUGAGAUUUUAUGUAACGUUCAAAAUCUUGAUAGCUAUAAGAAUUUAAGUACAACAUCUAUAGGAUGUAGGUAUAACUAGGUUAUAAGUACAAAAUCAAAGAUGUAAAAGCAAAUGCGGCACAUUAGGAGUUCUGCACUAAGAACUUGGUAACAGUAAGGAGCAAGCAUCAUUGACUGAAGUUGGUGGAAGAGAUAACUAUGAGUCACAAAAGCCUAAUAUUGCAUUGAUGAAUCCCAAAAGCCACAUUUGGCAGAGUUCAUUUUCUCAAAUUCAGCAAAUAGUUAAUGAAGUGAAAUUUCAUGAUUCAACCAAGCAAAAGGAUGGAAUAGAUUUUUCUGGCGAGCAAAAUUAUUAGCAUCUCAGGGAUAAGCAACCAGUUCCCAAACAAUUAGAAAUCAUAAAAUAAUAUUUUUCUUUGUUCAAGUGAAACUAUUUCAAGCUAUGAGAAAUACAAAAGACAUCGAAGAAGGACAAUUUGAAAACAUAUGUCAACUCUGCACUGCUAAAGAUUCUCAUGCAAUCAGAGAUAGCAACUGAGCCAGGGCAGGUUUUACUCAGCCCAUCCUUGUCCAGUCACUCAAAGUUCUCAUUCCAUAUUAUCCCGGCUUGACUCAAGUUAAGAAAUAAAAUAUAAUCCUUGAUCCACAUAAAAACCAACGAUAUUGAUUUUGUUUCCUUGGCUUACCCACAUGUGAAUAAAUUAUGAAACUAUAAUAAUUUUAUUACUACAUAUUAUGUAAUAAAAAAUAUUUACAUAAAAUUAUUGGGGAUUGGAUUUUUUUGUGGGAUGGAGCUAGCAAGGAUUGGGUGUAGUGGGUUUGGAGCAAGAUAAGCAUAUUGGGCUUGGACCAACACAAGCAUAAGGUCUUUGUUCCUGUCGCUACCCAAUUUUUGAAAACUACACCCAACACUCGCGUUCCCUGAUUAAAACUGGUUGAACCCAAACUAAUCAGGCCAGAUUGGGCUGGUGCACCAGGGGUCCAGGUUGAAAUUGCAUCCCUAUCCCUAUGUGCAAUUUAGUAGAAUGAAGAGUCCCUCGCUAUGUGCAAUUUAGUAGAAUCAAGAGUCCCCAGAUAAAUAAACAUGAAUUCUGCAUGCACAUUUCAUUCGCAGCUUUCAUCACAAUGCAACUCAUGUAGGCUCUUUCUAGCUUCCAACAUAUCAUGCAUAAGGGUUUUGUUUUGUGUUCUAUUUUGUAAAGGUAAGGUUGUUAUGCAUCAUAUUGGUUGCUAUAUGGCUUUUUCUCACUAUGUAUACUUGUAUAGUAUUAGCAGCACACAAUACCAUGCAUUUGUGCACAUUAAAGCGGAUGCCUGAGAAUUAGCUCAAGUUCCCAGAUUUAGUAAUUGGAGGGAAGUUCUGUAAAAUAAGUUGUAUUCAGCAAAGAGUCACAUGGAUGAAUGAAUAUGUGAAUCUCUUAAACAGAAAAACUAACUAUAUUUCACGUAUCCGAUUAAAGACAGAUAGAUGUAUACUUUCCCAAGUAGUCAACUCUAUAUAGGUAAUUUAAUUUUAUAGUGUCAAUAGAGGGUGGAUCUUCACACAAUAGUAAGGUUGAUCCUUUGUGAUAUGGGAGACCGGAGGUAAGACUUCGUACAUUGACCAUUCCCAAACUCUGCAUUGGAGGGAGCCUGUGGGUACACUUUUUUUUUUCAAUUUUAUAGUGUGGAUCUUACGGUGUGGAUUAUACAUCAUCCAACUAAGAAGAAAAAGUGUUGAUGAUAUAGGCUCUAAAGAUCCCCAUUCUGAGACAUGUAGAGAUACUACAAGUAUAAUCGAAUAAAUAACUUAAUAAAUAAAUCAAUAAAAAGAGAAACAUGUAGUAAGUCAUGUAACAUACCGAGAAUUUUUUUUAUGGUGCAUAUCGAACUGCAUUACCUAAUCCAGCUGUUUAAAUUCAUCAUAAACCAUGGUAGAUGUUAGUUGGAUUAACUAUUAUGCAUGUUAAAAAAGGAGUUGAAAAGUUUCUCAUGAAGUUUCAAGUCAAAAGAAUUACCAAACAAGGAUAAAGGGGGUAAUGGAGAUGGAAAAAGGGGCUGAGAACAAACUUAUUUCAUUGAUCCCCGCCACCUUUAGUUCAAGGGACCAGAUAAUUUCUAAACCUUAUUCAUUGUUAAUAUGUACUCAGGCAAGUAUGAAAUCAGUAACUGGUUAGCAACCUCAUUUAAUUUUCUCACCUGUCAAUGGUUCCACAUGGACACCAUGCAAUACUGGCAAUUGAAAGGCCUUAAUACGUCUACUUCUGUGAAGGGUUUCACAGUGCAUACAAAUUUUGCUAUCAAGGGCAUUCAGUUGCCUUGAAAGCCAACAGAAAUAAAGAACAAGCACAAGAAAAAGCUUUACCAAAUGAGUCUAUCAACCCAUGAAACAAAAGAUAUCAUUAUGCAUUUAGAAAAGGAAGAAAAAAAAAACCAGACAAAUAAGCAAAGGUUGGCUAGAGAAGCAAACCAAAGUUUCCUCCGUGGCCAUCAAUGAUCAAAUAGGAUAUAGAUUAAUCCGAGAAACAAAGAAGUGAUAAUUCAUGCAUCCAACUGAUUUGAUAGCAAAGAUGCACUUAUUUCGAUUACUGCAAACCAAAUCCUUCAAGGAAAGCACCCUUUUUGAAACUCCCUCGUAAUUCAUGAUUAUCUAAACAGAAAUAUGCAGCUCCAGACUUUCCUGAGACUACACAUCCUGUUCAAAAUCCGCAGAUAUCGCGACUCAAACCAAAACAGAGCUCAUAUUACAUAGGCAUGCUAUGGAUUCUGGCAACCCCAUGUCUAGAGAAGAAGAACCCCCUUCCACUGCUUGAUAACGAUCUUUCUAUAUCUGAAUGUUCCUUCCGAACAACGAUCCCUUUGGAGGAACUUCCCUGCUUUACCCCAUUGUUUUGGACAGUGUCUUCCUCAGAGGUCUCAUCUUUCCCUUCCUCAUCAAUCAUGCUUUCUUCUGGCUUGACUCUCACAAUGAUAGAAUUCAUCAGUGGAGUGUCCAUCGAAACUGAUCGCCGAACCUGAUGCAAUCCGAAAUCCCGCUUAUCGUCUUGCGCUAGUGACGCAGAACUCCCAGGCGUCGGAUGGAACGCUUCCGAUGUGUUGAUCGGAAUCCCAAUUGCGAUCAUGCUCUCCGAUGUUUCUCCGUUCUGCUGCUCCUCCGGCGGUUGAAUUCCUAUAUGUGGGUCCUCCGCAGGAGCAGAGAAGACAGAAUCGAAGUCCACUGAACCAGCGGAGGCAGUGACAGAAGGGGCGGGGCCAGCGGCGGGGGCGUUGGCGGGGGGCGAGAGUUCGCCGUUAGGGUCCACGAUGUGAGCCCGGCAAAUGGGGCAAUUGACGUGGGCGCCAAGCCAAGUGUCGAUGCAGGGAACAUGGAACGCGUGCCCGCAUUUAGGGAGUAGACGGACAAGCUCCCCGUCGCGAAACUCGCCGAGGCACACGGAACAAUUGGAGGAGCCGUCGAGGAGGCCGUCGCCGGCCCGAUACUCCGCCACGGCGAUGGAUCCGAUGGUGGCCUCGUCAAGGCCGACGGUCCGGAUGUACCACACGUGGUGGAACGGCUCCCCGUCGUCAAGGGGCGUGUCAUCGUCGUUUCCAUCGGGAUUCGGGUCAACAAAGGAAGCGGAGCGGACGGGGCGGCGGCGGCGACGGAGGACGGCGUAGUAGGUAAGGGAGAGGAGUAAGGCGGCAGUUGCGAUGGCGGCGGGGAUUAAAAGGAAACUGACUAGGUGGCGGCCAUGAUGAUUGUCGACGUGCAGAGGAGGUGCAGAGGGAGAAGGAGGAGGAGAGGGAGGAGGAGUGGCGCGGCCCUCCUUGUCAUAAUUCGAAUGGUCCUUAUCGGAAAGCAUCCGCCGGUAGGGAGUCAUCGAGGGUAGAGCUUACGUGCGAUUUCACGGAGGAUGAUGUGCGGAGAACGGUGUGAUCCGCAUCGCCUGAGCUCCGCCGGAGACACAGAGAAGAGGGGGGCGGGGGUGCGCGGCAACAAAGAAGUCGUCGGUCCACAAGUCAACGAAGUGGAUCCCACAUUUGAAACGUGGCGCAUUAUUCGGUGCUGUGCGACGGUGGUUUACAGACGUGGAGUACGAAACAGCUUUUGUCAAAAAUACUCACAAACCCGUUCAUCAACCCCGUAUCAGAGGUGGACCCCGCCCGACGAUGCCUUGUGGGACCUCUUCGGCUCUCCAGUCAAGUUGCACCAGGUGCAGUCAGACGGGUACGAAAAUGGGAGAAAGUUGGGGCCACGAAAUGUAGACCGCAAUUAGUGGACGAAACUUUGGGCAUUCCUUAUCGACCGCGCAGAGGCUUUAUCUCUCCAUUUCAAGAAUUCCAUCGGGCCGUGCUUCUAUCCAUCACCUACCUGCCUUGUGAUUAAAAUCAACGGUGGAGCCCCCAUGGAAACAUUUACUUUAGACAGGGAAGGUCUAUCUGCCGGACCUCACUGUCGCCUUUGUGUUUGUGGUUAUGCCUGCAAGAGGCAUUUCGAAGAAAAAUCCAAGUUGAGACGGUCAAAGUACAUUGUAUCAUUGGGCAAUUCGAGUGGCCUUUCAAUUCAACCCUUCGUUGAACCCAGGGCAGCACUAACCCUGCAUUGGUGGGAUGUGUUUGACUUUGUGGUAGAUACUUAUAUUCAUGGCCACCCGAGGUAAUCAAUCUAUGGUGACCACCCACCCUGGUAGACCUCGCUUCUCCACCUCAGAUUGUGGUAAGCAAUCUGAUACCGUGAAGCUGUCUGUUUUCAGCAAAUCCUAAAAUAUCAAAGUGAUGAUAAGGGAAGUAGCAAAAUUUCCAAAAUAUCCAUAGGAAGAUCCUUCUCUUUGAGCAUGUGAUUGAAAUGGAUGAACAACAGUGCUUAAUAAAGCUUCCGAUUGUUGAUCAUUGUAUUGUAUAGAAGUUAGCUAUUUAUUUUAUUGGUAAGAGUUUUUCUCUGUGUUUUUUUAGCUUAUUCUUCAAUAGGUACAAAUACUGAAAAUAUAAACCUAGUGCAGACACUUGUAAUUUCAUCAGUUGACAAGUCUACAACAGGUACCAACCAUUUGCUGCAUGAGCUCUCUUUUAUUGUAUUUGUUUUACAUCAAUGAUGAUGCCGGAUAUAGAUAUUUUAAGCAUCAGUUCUCAACCACCAUUCCUGACCAUGGCUUUUCCCUUGUGAAUCUGACAAGUUAGCUGUUCAAUCUGACAUUCAGAAGUAAUUAUUAACAUAUUUAAGUCUAGGCAUGUUUCUAUGUAGGCUUCAGAUAUCAUAAUACAAUUGUCAGAUGUUCAACCAUGUUUUACAUCAUUUGACUAAGCUCAUACAAUUUGUCAGAUUCAUUAUUGCCUGUCCAAGAUGUUCUAUUCUUGCAGCAUUCAAAAGUGAUUCUGGAAGAUGAGCAAAUGUGAUUAUAAAAGAGGGUUGUGUUUGUGUCACACUUUAUUAAUUUAAUCUUUUCAAUCUAGUAGAAUAUCAUACCCUAUGUUUGAAGUUGAAGCAGCUGAAUUGUCCUUAUUUUCUUUCUCUUUUAAACUGAAUAAUUAUUGUGAUUCUGAUGAAAAUGUCAAGUUGUAUGAUGGUUGAAGCAGAGUCCAGUUCCUGCACAUAAUGGCAGGUUAGCUUAUCUCAGAUGAUUGCUCAGUACUAGUAAAGUUGGAGGAUUAAAACUAGAGGCAGAGUCCAACUUAUCUCAAAUUUGGUACCAUGUUUCUUUGAGUUUGGAUGACUCCAUCAAGGGAGUGACAGGAACAUUUGCUUCAAUCAAAUCACAGAACCUAAAUUUUCUACGGAUCAGUCUCUUUGCUAGUUUACACAUGAUCACCAGUGGCAAAUGGAAGUGUUGAUGGAACAAGACUUACCAACAACCUGUUGACUUAAAGAAGGACUGAUGUCAGUCCCUCUCAGCUCCAUUGAUUGGCUACUGGAGAAGAAAUUUUCCAUCCGAAGAGAUGUUGAAGGGACCAAAAAUGAAGUCUCAGAAAGAUCACAGGCUUUUUUGACCCUGCAGAUGAAAGGGUUGGCUUGUUUAUUUGGUCUUCGUUUCUGUUGAAGAAACCUUGUCCUCAGCCAAUUGCAAAACAACACAUCCUUUUGAUGUUAUCUUUAUCCAGUAAUAGAUUAUUGCAGUGAAGAAGUUAAUCCAAGGUUAAGUUCAUUUCUUCUCUUCUGAGCCUUCUCUUGUUAUCAUCUUAUCAGGAACAUGUUGUUUGCAAGGGAAAAAAUGGGGUUAAUUUUCAAUUUACUUGAACAACAGACAUGAGUUCUCUUAUAAGUGAAUUGUUUGAUUGAUUUAAGAUCUCCUGUUGUAGGAAACCUGAAGAAGAAGGGGGCUUUGCAGAUGGAACAGACUGCUGAUAAAGAAGGGAAGGAUGCAGGAAUGGGUGCAUCUACAGUCAAAUUUAAUGAUCUUAUUAUAUAGUAUUAAAACUAGACCCACUAGUGGCACAUCUUAUAUUCAUAUUGAUUGGUGAAGGAUCUAAACAUUUCAACCACAACAUGGAUUUCAUUCUAGUAAAUUAACUCAUCAAUUGACAUUCAUCCUCCUUUUCUUAUAUUUGUCAAUGUCAUAUGGUUCUGGGUGUUCUAUUAGUUUCUCUUGCCAUGGACAUCAAGCUAGAAUGGUUGCUUGGAAUGAUGUAUUUUGUUCACUCUAUUUAUUUCUUUUCGUGUUUUCAUUUAUAUUCUAAAAGAAGCAUUCACAAUUCUCUCCUAUCUACUAGAAAACUAUAAUACUGUGUAUCGACGACUAAUCAGAGCAGACACUGAACGAAGCUCUUGGAAGAUGAGCUUCAUAUCUUCAUCGGCACUAAAGUUAUGCUGCUUCAUAUCUUCUUAAUCCAACACAAGUAAGUGAACAGGGAAAAUUAAGGUUGCAAGCGAUGAAAGUGAGAUAACAGUUGAUCCACUUGUCAGAUGAGAAAAGGGUGCUCAUCAACAAAAAAUAGCAACCCCAAACAAAUUGGAUUCUCGAGAGACCUGCGGAUGACAACGUAAAUCCUCUGACUCUCAGGUGCCGUAGUUUACUUCGAUAGCCUAUCCAUUAUGUACAACAAAGUAGGGGAUUGUGUAUGACGAAAAAUUGGUGUAAUGCAGAGGGAUGAAAAUUAAACAGCAAGUCAAACCCAGCAGUAUGUUUAGAAUCCAUAAGAUCAGCCCACGAGUGAUGGAAAGAACGAGAACUUGACAAGCAGUUCACUGCAUGUAAAAAGUCUUGCUUGUAUUGCCCAUGCUUCUGACAGGGAGAGCUGCAACUUUGUAGAAGUUAUGCGUUGCUUUUUCAAUCUUUUAAAUGAUUCAUUGUUGAUAUCUACUGUUUAUGAACUUUGGUAUAGUGUCAGAAAUAAAUCUACAUCAUCAACAACCUCAUUCAAACCUUCUCGGAAGAGUUCCACGCAUGGCAGAAACAGCUGAAGUCUCCCUGACCUUUUUACCUUGUUCUUCAGUCAACCAGGCCGGCUUCAAGUAAAUCAGAUCGCAUCCAAAACUAAUGCUAUUGCUUUUUCGAACGAUACUUCACAUCAUAGAUUUAGGAUAAGAUAAGAUAUGCCAACAAUAAUGUGUUAGUGAUGAUGAUGAUAGCUAAUAAUAUUUUCCUGUCGAACUCGCUUUCCUAUCGGACUCCUCUCUUUGUCCGCUGUACGGUGCGUGACGUCUUCGUUGCUACACCAGUCGUUGCCGUGACCACACUCGGCAUCGCCAUCAGGUGCGACCACAACAACGAGGGCUUGUUUUGGUACGGCUGGCUGCUCGCCCUUGGUAGUGGUCUGCCUCGUUGUCAACUGUCGAUCCUCAGCUUCUGCUAAGAGCUAAUUGCUACAGAUUUUUCUAUCAAAUUGCUAUAGCUUUCUUCUCUGUUGUAACUUUCUUCUCUAAUGUAACAUCGUUGCAGCUAUCUCCUCUACUGCAGCAUCAUUGCAGCUACCUCCUCUAUUGCAGCAUCGCUACAGCUACCUCCUCUGAUGUAGCAUCAUUGUAGCUACCUCCUCUGUUGCAGCUUCCUCCUUUGCUGUAGCUACCUCCUCUAUUAUAGCUUUCUCUUCUACUGUAGUAUCACCGUAGCAUCGUGCAGCUUUUUUCUCUGUUGUAGCAUCGUUGCAGCUACCUCCUCUACUGUAGCUACCUCCUUUGCUGUAGCAUCGCUGUAGCUAUCUCUCCUCUACUGUAGCAUCAUUGCAGUUACCUCCUUUGCUGCACCUUUCUCCUUUGUUGUAGCAUCACUGUAACUUUCUCCUCUGCUAUAGCAUCGUUGUAGCUAUCUCCUCUAUUGCAUCAUUGCUGUAGCUUUCUCCUCUGCUCUCAGCAGCUACAGCUUUCUCAGUAGCUACAACCGCAGCAGUAGCAACGAUCUACUCUUGUUCUACUCACGAAGCCUCUCGCUCAUAAACUGUUUGCUUUGCAUUGAUCCAAGAUUGGUAUUCUUGAUAGAAAUACCAUCUUACGAAAUAGGGGAAGAAUAGCUUCGAUGUAAAAUAACUUUUUCAAUAAUUCUUCUUGUCUUCUAUUCUUUCCAACAUAUGACACUUCUUUUCGUUCCAAAGGCGGAGGACAACGAUGAUGCACAGCAUAUCAUCUAACACCAAAGCUGCAGGUCAUCGAAGAUAGGAAUCGCGUUAGCUGGCAGCUCAUUCCAAGCCUGGUAAAAUAGAAGUCACCUUGGCGACCAAGUUAUGCUCACACUUUGAUGAAAGGAUUCAUCAAAGGUACAAAAGGACAAAAGGACAAGGGAGAUAGACAUGCCCAUUAAUCCCCAGUAUGUUAAAGGAGACUGCAGAUAUGUAUGAUCAUAAGCGAGCAAAUGAACGCCCAUUCCGUGGAGUCGGUGGCUGUAAGCAAUCCUAAUCCCCGUUGUGUGCCUCGACAGAGUCAACUUUUCUCGGUGGGAGGCGGCUGUGAGAAGGUUUUACCCGUCUGCAGAUGUUGAUAGAUCUCUUGUCGGGGACACGAGCAGGAAGGAAUGAUAUCUUAAUAAAUGAUAUCAUCUUAAUUUCACAUGCUAAGAUAAGGAUGUAUACCAAUAAAAUUUUGACCGAUGACCAAUGCAUGUUUCAUGACAUAAAAGAGUCACCCACUUGCUUGGCACGAAGGUAUUCUCCAGCCUUAGAAAAGUUCUAAAGCUAAGAGUAAUAUUUGAGAGGGUCCACUCACAUGCAGCCUAACCACGCCCUCAAAGAUAUUUAUUUAUAUGGGACCCUAAUCCUCCAUUAUCUGGUGUGCAAGCUGCAUAUCUUUUCUCAUCUCACAACCUUAUCUCUAGAACAAAGCUUGAAAUGGCCAGGCGCAGUUCCGUAGCUUCGGGUGCCCUCCUGCUCCUUUGUUGUGCGACGUGGGUCUCGGCCACCGAUUACUCCGUCGGCGAUUCCUCCGGUUGGAAGCUCGACUUCGAUUACACUACAUGGACUAGCGGCAAAUCCUUCGUCGUCGGCGACAAUCUUGGUUAGUUCUUCGACGCACCAUGAUCGGCGUUCUCCUUAGUUUGUAAGCAGCUUCCAACUUCUGAUCGAAUCCACGUUUUGGCCACUGCAGUCUUCAAAUACGCCGCCUCGCAGCACAACGUCGAGAAGGUGAACGCCGCUGCCUACAACGCCUGCUCGAGCAGCAGCCCCAUUAGCAGCGACAACAGCGGCAAAACGACGAUCAACCUGGACACCUCCGGCAAGCACUAUUUCAUCUGCGGGAUAUCCAACCACUGCACCCAAGGCAUGAAGCUGGAGGUCGACGUCGCAGAGUCAUCCCCCACCUCACCCUCACCUCCAUCCAGCUCCACCACCAACACCACCAACAACAACAAUUCCGGCGCCGGGAGCCUCUCGCCGGUGCACGCCACGGUCGCCUUCAUGGGGCUGGUGGUGCUCAAGCUCGGCGUCUUCUAGGCUUGGCCAGGAAAGAGACAGUGCUGUAACUACUACUCCAUUGCGUCGUUUCUUCCGUAUUCAUCACUCGUUGCAUUAGAGAAUAAGAGAGUGUUUUUUCUAUAUGGUGAUUGUUGAUGCUUCUUUUGAUUUAUUUGGAGUGGCAGUGACUUUUCUUUUAUAUGGGAAUGAUGAUUUCAAAUGAUAAUAUGAUUUUUGUAGUCAUCAUUAUACUUCUUUGGUUCUCUAAUUUGUCGAUAAUAUCACUGUUGGGAUGAAAGGGGGUGGAUUGAACUCCUACAAAACUUAAAUCAGGUGCAUAUCCGAUAAGAUUAUUUGACCCUCAAGUUAGAAUGUAUUUAAAUUCAAAGACUAUAGCUUGACUACGUCAAAGUCUCAUGGAAUCUUCUUUCCUUUUCUUCUGUAUUUUACAUCUCUCUGUAUCUACGCAAUCACAUGGCCGCAUCCACACAGAUAGAUUAAUGUUGUUCACACCAUUUCUUGAAAGAAAUGUUUUUGAGUCAAUGGCAUUGGGUUCUCACAACAUGCUCCCUCUUUCCAACGUCAAGCCAAGUCCAUCUUCUUCUACAGUUUGACUCCUUUCCUGGAGUUUUACUCGAUCAGUCGAUCACAACCUCUCAUCUCAAUGAUUGAAUUAUUAGUGAAGUACAUACGGUAGAGGAUCAUCUUCGAUGAUUAUGAUAUCUUAUAAUAGUUUCAUAUAUAUAUAUACAUAUAUACACUAAUUAGCACAUCCACAUUAUCAAUUAUACAUUAUUUGUAUACUAAGUAUACAAGCUAUAAAAAUUAUACUUAUCUACGUAAUAGUUACCCCCUCUUUUAACGUACCAUGAUUUGACGCAGCGUUUCAAGAGUGGGUCCCACAAUAAGACACACAGAUGAGUGUACCGAGUCACUGUGUGCCUUACAAGUGAGUGGGAAAAGAAUUGAACGCGGACAUACUUGAAAAUAUUAUUCAGUUAGGUAUUUACUCCCACGGGAUCGCGCAAGCGCCAUGCGUAUAUGCUACACGAAUACUACAAUGGUUUACCCGUUCUCUUAUACGGUAUGUCAUUGGAUGAAGAGUGGGCUCCAUCGUUGUUUAGAAUCCGUUAGGAAUUAGGGUACAGGAGAUUCGACGUCGAUGGUCACGUCGCUGCUAACGUAGCUAAUAUUCGUUGUUCCGCGGUAGCCGUUAUCCGCUCAACCGCCGGUGGCGCUGGUUACAUACCAACGACUGGCUGACCGCUGCGCUCUUAGCCUGAGGGCCGGAACUCCUCCUCUCGCUAAUACCGGCGUUUCGGCUGACCCUCGGCCAAUCUCUCCCUUCUCUCCAAGCCGCCGAGCCUUGCGGAGAUGGAGCCCAUGGCCUCCCCGCUCGCUGCCCGCCCCUCCGCCUUGCUCCGCCGCCGGCCCAUCCCCGCCCUUUCCCGCCGCCGCCUCAUCUCUGCCACCCCCCUCCGCCCUCCUCCUCAGCCCUCCGCGGCGUACCCUCCCUCCAUCCGCCACCGCCGCCGUCGCCGCCCGAAACCCUCACUUUUCCCCGCCCGCUCCUCCUCGUCCCAAUCCGAUUCUCCAAAUCCCGCCUCCUCUCCUCUUCCGCUGCCGCCUCCGCGUGAGGGCGCGAAGCUUAUCCCCCUGGCAAUCUCCCUCGCCGUCGGUCUAGCCAUCUGGUUCCUCGUCCCCACACCCGCCGAGGUCACCCCGCAAGCGUGGCAGCUCCUCGCCAUCUUCCUCUCCACCAUCACCGGUUUCAUUCUCGGCCCGCUCCCAAUCGCGGCUUGGGCCUUCCUGGGCCUUACCGCCUCUGUCGCCACCAAGACCCUUACCUUCUCCGCAGCAUUCGAUGCGUUCGAGAACGAGGUGAUCUGGUUAAUCGUGAUAUCCUUCUUUUUCGCCAGGGGCUUCGUGAAGACUGGGCUCGGGGAUAGGAUUGCCACCUUCUUCGUGAAGUGGCUCGGGAAGAGCACACUGGGGCUUUCGUAUGGGCUCACCUUCAGUGAGGCUUUUAUCGCCCCUGCAAUGCCCAGCACCACCGCAAGGGCCGGUGGGGUGUUCUUGCCAAUCAUCCAAUCGCUGUCUCUCUCCGCCGGGAGUGAGCCAGGAGAUCGGUCGGCCGGUAGACUUGGAUCCUAUCUGGUUAUGUCCCAGUUCCAGGUUUGAUCCUCUUAUUCCUUUUUGCCUGGCUUUGUUUUCUGAUUCAUGUCACCUCUUUUGACUUGAGCACAAAAAGAUAACCUUUUUUUCCAUUUAUUUUUCUAUAAAUCUUUCUGAUACCUAUUGUUCACAUUAGCAAUAUACAAAAUUUUCUCUUCGUUAAUAAGAGAAUACAUUUGGCUUCCUCCUCCUCCUCCUCCCACAGGAGAAUGCUGAACUCUUAUCCUCCAGGUUCUAUGUUGUUUGUCAAAAACUCAAUGAAAGAUCCCCUUUUGAAUUUGAUAACAACUGAUAAGCCAUAGGUUGAUAACAAUGGCAAGCCAUAGGUUCUAACUCUUGCAGUUGGCUAUAUGCAUCCUUUAAAAUGUUAAUGGGCUCUAUCGAGAACAAUAUCACUACUAAAGUAAGAGCCAACCAAGUGCCUUGGUUCUUUCUAAUAGUCUUAUUGAGUCUUCCUCUUAUCUCUUCUGGCACCAUAUAUAUUUGACAGCUAACUUGCCCUACUUUGAUGCAUUUAUAGAUCUUUGGACAUGUCAAAGUCAACUUAGAUUGGUUCUCAUGAAUUAACAUUGAUUCAUGCUGUCCUUAUCUGUUUAGAAAUGCAAACAUUUUUAUUCUAUAUUUUUUCAACUCACACAUCGAUAUUAAUAUCCCCUAAUCAAUGAGUGUUUACUCUUUUGGUUUUGAUUGCCCAAUGGCACUAAUAUAUUAUCGCAUGCUUUACAAGUAUCGUAAAACUUUUUCUUGUAAUCUAUAGGUUACAACCAUCAAACAACAUUUGUGAUAUGCCUCUCUACGUCGACCAUUUCUAAUCCUGCAAACAAUCCCUUUAAUCUAUCCUUCCUCUUAAAUAAUUAAUCUAUAUAAAAAACUUUGGUGUUGAUAAUGUCUGUCUUCUGUUUGUCAUUUUUUGAACUCUUCUACUGCUACUACUAAAGUGGCAUUUCUUGUAUUUGGCCUUACUGUUAAAAUGUCUAACAGCCUUGGUUGCUAAAUCUAUAAAUAUGAUCAUAUUCAAUUUUCAGGAUCUUACUGACGAAUAGAGGAAUAUUUUGAAUUUCAUUUGUACAUUGUGUGUGAAAGUAUACACCUAAUUAUCAGUGAAUGAUGACAUUUUUUCAUUUUAUUGUAACUCUGCAGUGCCAUUUAAGCUGUACUAACUUUCGUAGAUGUUAACUUCUUCAUUGUUCAGCACUAAAAAAAUCUUAAAACAUGGUUGACCUUGUAAGUUAUAACACAUCUUGCAAAAUAUUAGUUUUGACAAAAGGGACUCACGGUAAUCACACAAAAAUAUUGACAUCUCUCUUCACUUUAAUAACCAUCCAACUUUUGUUCUGUAAAUAAUAUCUUCAUCAAUUUCUUCUAAAUGCUGAAUAAUAGGCCCCAUAUACUUCAAAUGUGCUUUAUUUUCUCUUCACAAUAUCAUUAAAUAUCACAAUGCUUAAUUUUAUACAGUUCAUCACUUGAUUGAUUUUCCAACUAAAAUAUUUUGAUGACGUAGGAUAUAACUUUUCAAUUCUAUGCAUUUUCUUAAAAAUUCAUGUUAUAAAUAACUACUGGUUAGUGUUUCAUAUAGUUGAGAAAGUUUAGUUUGGCAGCACGAUAAUCAUUGAAAUCCCAGAGCAUGUAGUUUAAGUUGAAGUUGCAUGAAAUAUGUUUAUUAUUCAUGCUUCCUUGUCUCCUUUUCAAAAAAUUGAUAAUUCUUAAAAGCUUCAUAUACUUGAAUCAUUCUGUUCUGGUUCUUUAUCUUCAUUUUGUGCUGAGACUGAAGACAUUCAUUUUUUGUUUCUCUCUGACUCAUUUCAGUCUUCCAGUAAUUCAAGCGCACUUUUCCUAACUGCUGCAGCUCAAAAUCUGUUAUGCCUUAAAUUAGCCGAGGAACUAGGGAUCCAUAUUGCAAGUCCAUGGUUGUCAUGGUUUGAGGCUGCAAGUUUACCUGCCAUAGCCUCUCUUCUGGUUACUCCAUAUAUUUUGUAUAAGAUCUUCCCUCCAGAAAUUAAGGAUACACCAGAUGCACCUGCUAUAGCAACAAAGAGACUGGAAGAAAUGGGACCUGCGACAAGGAAUGAGUGGGUGAUGAUCUGUACAAUGGUCUUUGCAGUUUCCUUAUGGGUCUUUGGGUAAGUAAUUUGAGUUUUUUGUUUUAUUGACGUACUUUGUCACAGUGCAUUGAAUAUAUUAGUUCAAUCUAGAACAUUAUAUCUCUUAUUUAGGAUCAGAUAUUAUUAAUACACAAUUUCAAUUUCUCCAUGCAUCAUCAGCUAAAGUUGACUACAACCUUGUUGAUUGGCUGAGAAUCUGAGGGAACAAUCUAAAUGUCCAAUGUUUUUACUAUACAUACUGUAGUGUAUCACAGCAAUAUUAGCCAUAGUCUGGACUGUUGCUUUCCAAAAUGCCCUUUUACAAAUACUAAUCACCUCACUAAUCAAUGAAACAAAUGAUUUCUGAUUACAAAACUAGAUAUCUGUAUUUGACCUGGUAAUGUUAUCGAUUUUACAGUAUGUAGCAUAUCUUUUUCAUGGGUAACGAAAAGGAAUUUAUAUACAUUAUGGCAUACAAACCUCAUUUCUAUGUUUUAGUGUCGUCAACCAAUCCAUUUCUAAUAUGUUAGAACAUAGAAUCCUCAUUUCAAUUUUUAACUUUUGCCAUCUGAUCCAGCUCUUUGUUAUUAGUGAUGUAUUUUUUAGAUCAUUAAGUACCAUAUGAGACUGAGUUUUCCGGCCUUUACAUCCUGAAAGCUUUUCUGAAGUUCAGCAGUUUUGAUUUGAGUCAUCAGUCAAAUCAGAAGCAUGUUUUUUCUGUUACAACUGCCUGCAUUUCAUAUGAUUCAAUAUUAUCAGAAAAAAUAAAAUAUCAUCACUUGUUCUUAGAUACUGUGGCUCUGUUUGCAGAUUGCCAGUUAGGAGUUUCAUUAAUAGAUUUGUAAACACUGUACUAGCCAGUUGACUUAAAUGUGACCACUGACGUCUGGGUGAGUGCUUGCAUGUGUCUGAGUGUUAUAUAUCCAUUUAACAAAAGCAUCUAGGCCUUCUUAUUCUUUUUCUAAACUUAUGAUGGACCACUUGAAUUUAAAAUCAGCAUAUGUUGAAUAUGAUCUUUUGUACUUGAAGUGCCAGUACCAAAAGUUUAAUUCCUUCCAAUAUGCCAACAGUAUUAUUUACCUGUUCAUUGUAUUUCCACUUGAUUUUAUUUGAAACUAUUAAGGGUCACAUACUUUAAUCCAUUCUAGCUCAAUUUUAUGUGAUGUGUUGAUAACUAGCUGAAAUGUUUUCACCAGUUUUUGUAGAUUCAACAAUGAAGACUCAAAUUUGAGUAUAUUGGAUCAGAAAAAUGAAAAUGAAAAUAGGUAGUCAAGCUGAUAUCAUUAUCUGUAUAAUUUGUAUGAUUUAACAUUAAAAUGGCCAAAGAAAGGGGAUCGGCUGGAUUUUAUUGGAACUCUAUAGAUGAGUUCAAUCAGUUUUGCAGUUCUGAUUGAUCCUUGCUGAUUUCUGCAAAGUGUGUUUGAAACUUGGCUUUUCUUUUUUUUCCUAUCAAUUCCAAACAAAUCAUAUUGGUCAUUUGGUUUGAUACAAUCCACAUAGCCUAUUACAAACUUGAUCCUAAUCUUGGGAACCUUACUUGAAAUAACACUGUUUGAAGAUUCGGUUUUGGUUAUACUUCAGUUGCCGCUAGAAAAGUAUGCUUCAAUGUUUUUGAAAAUUUUGGGUUUUUUAAAUGCCAUAUUAAGAUAUUCACAAAAUUUGAAAAGGAAAUAAUUAAGAUAAAAAAAGAAAAUAAUAAAAGAUGUACUGAAUCAUGAGGUUCCUCAUCCAGAUCUAAGAAACAAUGGAAAUGAACAUAGGAAUCUAAGCUUCACCCUGAAUUCAAAGGAAGUUCCCAUAAGAUCUUCAUUUCAGAGGAGUGAGAACUAUGCAAGAUGAUUUUUUUGAUAAAUCCCCCUUAUCUUGUUGGUUUCUUAUAGAGAAAAGGUUAGCAGAAUGAGCUUUUCAAUAGGAGUGAGGUUUGGGAGGUUUGGCACAUGAAGAAGCUAUGCACUAGGCCUUAAAACAGAUUACUCUAUCGAGAUCAACUUUAGGCUAAUUCAACUGAAAAACAAUGAUUCUUGGAAACUUUGAAGAAUAUAUUAGACUGUCCUUAUUCUGCGGUGUGGACUGUAUUGAAAUCAUUUUGAUUUUUCGUUUGGAACUGGUAAACUGAAAAGGAUUAAUUUUGAUCAGAAACAUAAGCCAUGUUCAAUAAGGAUGGGAUCGUAAAUCAUUAUUCCAAGUAAAAAUAUGAUAAGAUUGUAAAAUUUAAGCAAAAUAGGAGAAGGUGAAAAAAUAUAUUACAGAAUUAACCAGAAAUUCUCCAUUCACUCUCUUGGGAAUGGCCUUACAGCUGCAUUUAUAUUCCAUGAUAAUUUAAUUACUGAAAAAUGUACCUUUGGAAUAAAUUGACAACUAAAUUAACUGUAACCUUCACACCAGGUCUGAUAUCAUGUAAAAAUAUAAUAACAAUUAUAUCUAUUGUCACUCUAUGAUACUGUUGUAACAGAGUAAUAAUAGAAAACUUUUUUUUUAUUUCAUCUUGAGAUCAACCACACUUUAUUAUUAUUAUUUUUUGGGCUUUUAACAUUCUGUAUAGAUAAUAUGGUAAGUAGAUACCCCACUGUAAUCGCUAGGACAUGAAAUGUGGAAGAAAUAUAAUUAAGCUGUAGGCUGAAUAAUCCUUUUCCUGCCUUUUUCAACUCAUGACUCAUCUCUUUAUUAAGUGUCCUCUAAAGAUUGAAAAAGGUAGCUGCCAAUUUUUUCAGUUAUUUUCUCUUUUCCAUUCCUUAAAAACUAGCUAGAUGUCAUUUUAGAAUCAUUUAUGACUUCCAAAUAUACUAUAACAAGUCCCUAAUUUUGACUAUAAAGUUAGAGUGGAAGUUGGAAAUAGAAAAUUAGAAAUGCUGGAUGCAGACCUGUGCAACUCAACCUACCCUCUGGUACAGAUAACCUAAACUGCACAAAUAAUGCAUUAAAUAAUUAUCUAAACCGAGACCAAGAUAUACUCAAACUAAACCUCAGAAAAUUCUUGAUCAGAAACGGAGGGAGAAAUCUUGGAAGGAUCAGUGGUUGCUGGGCAGGUUAGCUAACAAAUGGAAACUUGUCUCUAGUAUGCAAAAGUCUUUUUCCUUCAUUUCUAGUAGACAUUAGAAUGCAUUUUAACUUAAUGCUUUCAUAAUCAUAUGAAAUUAUGAUGCUCCGCACAUUGAGUGGCCCUUCUAGUGCUGACAGCUUAUUUUUUAUUAAUAAUGUAUAAGAUGAUUAACCAAAGCAAUUUCCAGAGACAAAGAAGAUUUAUUUUUCUUGCAUCAUGCCAUGUCAUUUGACAUUACCCACAUUACUAUUAUGCUGCUCUAUUAAGAAGGUCUCACUGGUCAACUAGACAAAAAAGUCUGUUCUGUUGUUUGUUUCAUAAAUAAAUUAACCAACAAAACUCGGCUUCCCUGACUGUAUAUUUUAUAGAUCCAUUGCUAACGGAAAACUUCAAUGCUUACAAGGAAUUGUUUGUUUCAUAGAGAUGCUCUUGGCAUAUCAAGUGUUGUUGCAGCAAUGCUUGGCCUAUCCAUCCUUCUACUUUUUGGUGUUCUGAAUUGGGAUGAUUGUCUUAGUGAGAAGUCUGCAUGGGAUACCUUGGCUUGGUUUGCAGUACUGGUUGGAAUGGCUGAACAGCUUACAAAUCUUGGAAUUGUGACAUGGAUGUCAAAUUGUGUUGCGGAGUCUCUCCAGCAUUUCUCACUGAGCUGGCCUGCCGCCUUCUGCAUUCUUCAGGCAUCUUAUUUCUUCAUUCACUACCUAUUUGCAAGUCAGACUGCACAUGUUGGAGCCUUGUAUUCAGCAUUUCUUGCCAUGCACUUGGCAGCUGGUGUUCCUAGUGUAUUGGCAACACUUGCAUUGGCAUACAACACAAAUCUUUUUGGUGCAUUAACACAUUAUAGCAGUGGUCAGGCUGCUGUAUAUUUUGGAGGUACUGCAAAUUUCUACAGACUGAUAACGAAAACUCAAAAAAGAAUGGAUCCAUUAUGACUCAUAUAAUGUCACAUUAUGACUGAUAGAAUGGCACAUCUGGUGUUGUAAUAGACCGUAAGGGUUAUAACAGAAACUAGGGUAAUGAAGACUUAUUGUCCUAACAUUGCUACACAGUUAAAAGAACAUUAAAUUUAAAUUAAGCAACAUGUUACUGUGGUUCCCUUUAAAAAGAAAGAACAUGCUACUGUUGUUCCAAUUUCAAAACAUUUUAUGUUUCUAUAUUAUACUCCAAACUCCAAAGGAGAAGAAAACUUGUUAACUUUUAUAGAAGCACGAGUUAUAUAAUGACUGUAAAAUGUUCAGCCAUUAAAUUUUGUCUACAAAAAUUUAGUCAGUUGGAGAAAUGUGGAAAGUAAUGUCUUCUUUAAUGAGAGUGCUUGGAAGUGUACUGGAAGAACUCUCAGAAUUUUAAAUUUGAGUUCCUGAACAAGACUCUAUGAUAAGUGCUCUAUGUCAGACACGUUGAUUACAUCUCACAGAAAAUAUUUUCAGGUAUUAAUAAUGUUAGAAAUAGUUUGGGUAACUCUAAUGUUUUUCCCCUUUUCCUGCAGUGGGUUACUUGGACCUUCCUGAUAUAUUUAGGCUGGGCUUUAUAACAGCUUUGAUCAAUGCUUUAAUAUGGGCUUCUGUUGGUACCUUUUGGUGGAAAUUUCUAGGGCUGUAUUGAAGCUGAUGGUGGUGUAAGUUGAGAGAAGUCUUCCAUUAAUGAUACUUAAAGAUCCUCAAGCUUAUUCUGGAACCAUUCUUAAUUUCCUAGUUUCUGCUAAAGGUAGAACUCUGAAUUUCAUGCAUCUUUUUAGGUUAAACACUCUUUUCCCCUCCUAUUUAUGUUCCAAAUUGUUGCUGAUGCAUUUAAAUCAGCUAUAUCCAUGUUGAAACAGUUACUGUUAAGAGUACAAAUUAGCCAAAAUACUUUGAGGUAUUGUUGGAUUGCUUCAACAUUUCAGUGAAUAUAGGAUAACACACAUUUUUAAAGAAGCUAACCAUGUCGUGCAUUGGUUAGCAAAUUUUGGAAGGGUGAACCAUUGUAAUGAAUUCUGGUACGAUGUGUUUUCUCGGGACUUGGAGGUUAUGAUCUCCUCUGAUAACAGAGAAGAUAGGUCUUCGCUUUAUUGCUAAAUAAAAGUUAAUUUUCUGUUGUGCAAAAACAAAGAGAGUACAAAUUAGCAACUGUAAAAUCAAAUGGAUUGUUGGCAAUGUGACAUCUAGCCUCUUUUAUUAUAUGCUGCCUGAACUGGGUUUAGACCUUUAUGUACUUUGUCUUUUUCUCUGAUUUCUUCGUGAUGGAGAAUAUAUGGCCUUUAAACCACAGGAACUAUCAACGAUUGUUAACAAGUAUGUAUAAUCUGCUUGUUUAUGUGUUCUGUUUUGAUAAGCCUAUGGCUACUCAUGAUACCAUUUAGUUGAAGAUAGACAACGUAGUCUGGAAAUAUGUCUACUGCUAUAUGGCUCUUUGGAAAGAUAUUCGAGAACAUUAGGUAUGAAAUUCAUGAUACCUAGGAUCAUUAUAGAAUGUACUAUACCUACUAAAUUUAGGUAAAAUGUGCAAUUUCAUUGAUUUUUUUAGGUGAUGGUGCUUUACUAAAUGCAAAAGAUGUGAACUUAUUUUUUGUUUAAAACAUUGCCAGCUACCAUCAAGAUAUUUCUGUUUAAUUAUGUUCCCAUAUCUAGUCAAUCAUGAAGAGUUUUGUUUACUCUAUGAAUACCACUGUAGCAUGCUUUAUCAGCAUAUCAGCUCUGAGCCUUUUGACUGAAUUAUCAAUUUUUUUCAGAAGACUUUCAGAUGAAUUACAGAUGCAGUUACAAGUUUACAAAUUCUUGGGAUGCAGCUAAUGUUUCCAUCUAAGAUUAAGGGGAAAUGUAUUUUUACCCUGUAUCUUAAAGCAGGUGCUUUAAAUGUCAUACAUAAAAAAAUUCACAUGGUCGAUUCUCCUAUUUGUUCAUCAUGAUAAAUUGGAUUCGUCCAUUGAGUUAAAGAACAAAUCCACCAGCAGACACUGGAAGAUAGAUCUGUGCUGUUUUUAUUUUGGUAUGUGCUGUUUUUAUUUUGGUACUUUUAUCUUUGUGCAAUAUCUGACAGAAACCUGGCAUUUUAUAACAUCAUGGUUUCAGUUUGUUAUUCAAGUUCUUUUUUUCCCCAUUUUCCUUUAUUUUUAGCUUUGUUAUCCCUGAUAUAACAUCCACUAUACAGUUUAUGACUUGUAAUUUUGCCACCAAUAUCAUAUUGAAAUUAUCUGACGAAAAUUGUGGUCACUGAAGAUUUUUCUCAUAUCAACUUUCUCUGCAUGUAACUAUCAUGGCAGCUAAAAUUCCAUCAGGAAACUUGGAAGUUUGAAAACAAUUAGUUUUGUUGUGUAUCUGACUUCUUACAUGGCACAACUUUUAGAUAUCAGUGGAUUGAUUAUGGCAUUCUGUCUUAGAUGUCCUGUGGCAAACAUUUUCAUUACAGAACAUAAACUUGCAUCUUUAUUUUAUGGUACCAAUCUUCUUAUUCUGUUUUUUUCUUCCUCCUCUUCUUUGUCAAGAUCUGCAGCUGCUCUCUUGCUCCAUUACGCAUACAAAUUUGAUUUGUCGAGUAGGCAGUUAUAUAUUAACUUAAUUCCAUUGUUUACUCUUUUGUUUCUGGACAGGCAUAUCUGACAACAAAAAAAGGUUGAUAGGAUAAGAUCUUGAAACUGAAAGAAUACAUUAUGAAUAGCUUGGAAUAGAUGCAUAUGGCUUUGACUUGUUUGAGUUUUGUGGUACUUGGAACCAAUAUUGAGCACACACUGGGCUCGGUGCACAAGAUUUAAUACACAGAUUCACUGAAACAUCUCCAGUCAUCAGGUCAUGAGUUUCCCAAGCUAUUUUACUCAGCUUUAGCAAUUCCUGAUUCUUCAUAACUUUUGUUGGUAUUGUGGCUAAUCAAGGGGUAUUUUGCAUGCCUUUUACUUGCAACUUAUCAUGGAACUUCCCAACUAUUAAGAAACCUCAUCAGUUAUGAUGAUGAUGAUGAUGAUGAUGAGCAUAGUACAAAAUUAAAACCUAAUGUAGUAAAUUUAUGCUGCCACAUCCCUUUUGUCCCCAUGUUCUGACCAAUCCCCAUAUCCCUUAGCUUUGGAGGACAAGAAACUGAGUCUAUACAUGUGGAAUCAAUCUUUAGAUGUAGAUUUAGAUUUGAUUUGGAGUGAAAUUAAUGUUGAAAAUUGCAAUUGGUUUGGUUUGAUUAGAUCAUAAAAAAUAAUGCAAUUUUCAGGACAUCUUCUGGAUCUAAAAUUGACAUCUAUCAUGACACAAUAAAAAAUGGUGAAGUUGUAUUCAUCUCCAAAAUAAUGUUAUGAGUUGCAGAGUGUUUUAAAACAUUAUACAAACUGUUAUUGUUAAAAUAAUACAUCAAAAUGGGUUUGCCUUGUUGCCUUGACAAAUAUUUCCACUCAGAGCAUCAUGCCAAAUAAAAAUGAAGCAUAUCUCUUACUGCGGCAGUUUCUUCUUUUAUCCCCUAAAAGAGAAUAAGAACUAAGUUGUUCUUUCAAGUUGAAAUUAUAACAGACACUGUAGUACAAAAAAGAUUGGAACGUUGGAAUUUCUCUCCAUAGAAUCAGAUUUACAAGUUUUGGCAAUCUUAAGUUAGUCAUUGGUCAUCAUGUUUCUUUUUCUAUGUACAUCAUAAUUCAUAAAAUAAAAAAAGGGUAAGAAAUCAGGAAUAUGCAGAACUUCAAGUCAUUUUGAGGAGGUAUAUCCUUUUACCUUGUUAUCAUUUUGAGCUUUGUAAAUCAAUGAAGGAGAACGAACAACAAACACUGGAUGGAUAUAUUCAACAAGUCAUCUUCUUCUUCUGCCAAUCAGCAGCAGAAGAUCAAACUUGAACGAAGAAAAGCAGCAGCAGAUCUGCUUUCAGUGGUAGCCUUUUCUGUGGUUUUCAGCACCUACGCACUUUGGCAUUUACUUUAUGUGACCACGACACUGGGUUUGUGCUGAAAGGGGGAAAGGAAGAGAUAAUUCCAAGUCGCUCCCCAUCUUUUCAGGCUUCCUGGCCACAUGACACCACCACGCAGAACAAAUAGCUCCCACCUUUUCCUUUCCCCCACUCUGCCUCAGCUUUUGCUUUUCUGCGUGCAGGAUUCCAUUAGGUGGAGUGCUUCCAUGGGCUCUACCAGGAGACGAGGAGAAAAUACCAAGCCGUCGCUCUCCCACACCUGUAGUUGACAGGGGACGCCCUCGGUGGCUGCCUUUUGGUCUGUAGUUCCAAGUGCUGGGUUGCAAUCCAUGGCUUGUGUGCAGUGAGAGGACAUCUCGUUCUGCGCUGUGACCUUUGCUUGGAUUCCCUGCCAGCUCGGGUUGUGUAGGCCAGCAAAGGGAGGUGCAUCUUCCUUUCAUGUGGAGCGUCAUGUCCUCCUCCCCAGGCCGGAAGGAGAUUUUUGGAGGGAUUUGGCAUCCUAACUCAUGCAGGUUCUGAACAUGACCUCCCAUUUCCACGCUCGAGCUUUUGCAGCGCUUCAUGUUGUUUGUGAAGCUAACAAGAGAUUUGAAAGCCAAAGCAUCCUUCACCAGUUGAUCGUCAAAUCUUCUCCAGACCUGCAGUUUCUGCUUUACGGUCUUCUCUAUUCCGUCCCACAGAAACAAUUUUGCUAGCAAGUAUGAUGCAGCCGGUACACGUACUGUCGAAUGACGACUCAUUCCGAACAUAAUAAUCAUCGACUCACAGUUGGUUGAAGUCAGCGUACCUUGUCGUAAGCCAGAAUUUGGAACAAGAACAUGGAAGGAUGAUGUUGCGACUGGCUAAGGUUUCUGCAGGACAUAAUGGAUGUAUAACUCUGGCUACCACUAGAGCUCCAAUUGCAGCUCAUGAUUUUUGCACCGCAAGUCUGCAAAACAAGAACGAGUUGAUGUCAGUGGUCCACACGAUCAUGAAGCAGACACUUUGUAAAGUAAGCAGAGAACAGCUCAGGAGACCUGUUGACAUACUUGGUUCUUGUUUUGCAGGAUGCAAGAGCUUUUUGAGGGGAAAUAUCAACGUCUUGAGAAUGCAAGAGAUUAAAGUUCUUUAUCGGAAAGAAAGUAAGAGAUGGAGUGAGAGAGAAGACCUCGUAAAGUUAAAGGGAAUCCCUCACCUACAUAUCAGUGUAAGAAGACUUUAAACUCCACUGGUGAGUGAAACUUUAUUAUGGUUCUUUUUGUAGCUUGCCUUCCUCUUUGUUGCUCUUUCUCUUUGCACUCUUUUUACUGCCACCACAUUACUUGGCAAAAAGAUACAUUCGGAAUCAAUCUCGUAAACUACUGUGCCUUUUUUAUCAGCACCUUCUAAUUACACCUUCCUUGUGAAUUGCAAUAGAUGCUGAAGCAUUUAUCCCCCCUCAAAAGCAGUAAAUCUUAUAUAGCCAGAGCAGAUUGGCCUUUUUUUCAUUCCAUAUUCAUGCCACAAUUGCUUGAUUUAGACCAACAAAUCAUUGCACUGCAGUAGAACUUUUUUAUAUUUGUUCAGAUAAACCUGCUUUUGUAGUCAGUUGCUAAUGAUUCGGUAGUGGAUCCCAAAUCAUAGGAAGUCAUGUUAGUUGCUGCCUGUGACAAGGUGGAGAGGCAGAGUCCACUUUUCUCAGUUUAAACAAGACUAUUUAGCACAUAGAGCUCGAACUAUGGCAUCUUAGAUGGCACCUAUCAAACAAACAUAUCAUGAGAUUUUUCAUGUCCUUUUGUUCUAGGCCCUGAAAAAGAUUACUUAGGAAAUGGUCAGACCCCAUACAUGUUUGAUGUAGUAAUCAUAGUUCAAGAGAAAGCAAGAUAAAGAAAGUGCCAUCAUGGUCCCAAACCUGGGACAACACUACACAGUAGGUUUCACACCAGUGAAUCUUUUGUGGCCUCAUUCCAUGACAAACAAGUCUGCCACACCCAAUGAGAUAAAAAAACUGUAUGUGAUCAAUUCCAAAGCAAAAAGAAACCUCCAUGGUUUGCAAACCUUGGAUCUGGGUCCCAUGGUGGUGUUCACCAGGGCUUUUCUACUGUGCUAAGUGGAAGAUGACUGCACCCACACCUUUCUCCACCACUCGAAGCAAAGGAAAACAAAUUGCGGAAAGGUUCCAUGUCAUGUAAUCUCAUGUUAGCCAUCCACCUAAGAAAUCUACAUGCUUCUUUAUUCUUUUGACAAAUCUUUUCUAAUCUAUGAUCUUCCCAAUCCAAAUAAGAAGCUGGAUCAAACAUUUGUCUUCUCUUGAACUUGUGCUAGCUUUUAUUCAAUGUGUGCAUACACUCUACCAAAAAAAAGGAUGAGUUGUACAUUGAUUUUUUUAAUAAAAAAGGCUAACUAAUAGAUUUAAGAUCACAAAAAAGUUUGGACAACAAUAUCAGAAUUUUAACUUGGUUCUUGACUUGUAUGUCCUUAUCUAGAUAGAAUAUGACUUUCUGCAACUUGUAUCCUUUCAAUUUUGUGGUAUGCAAUAUGUAUGGCAUCAUCAUCCUGUCAGUCCAAACUGAACAAUCUCCAACCAAAUGCAGCAUUACCAUAUCUAUCCACUUCUUGAUUUAAUUGCUAAUUACCAAAAAAACUUAAAGGUGUUGACGUGACCAACAGAAAUCUUUGGACGAUCAUUACAGUAAAUUGGAAGCUUUUACCCAAUUAUCUACUUAAUGAAGUCUCUUUGUGCUAGCAUGGCCUCUUAUUGAAACCCUCCUUGUCGCGCUACUAGAAAUCUGGAAUGUAGACCAGCUUUCAUCAAAUUUUCUACUCGCAUCUUUUAAUUGAGUGAACUUCUCAUCCUCCAAUAUGUAUCAGUUCUGAAACUUAGGAGGUCCGAAAAAACAAAAAGAAGAGACAACAAGAGAAGAAAGUAAUCCUCCUUCCAUUACUGAAGAAACUUUCCUUUCUUCAAGAUAGUGUGAGCCAAGCUCAAAGAACUGAAAGCAUUUUCCUUAGCCAAGAAGAAAUGUGUCCUCUCCUAGCAUCUGUUUUAUGCAGUUGACAUUGAAUAGACUGUCAGCAUCUGUUUGUGAAGAGUCUCUGCUUUCUCCAAAGUGGUAUAACUGAAAAGAUGCACUCUUGGUAGAAAACAGUUCUCUCCAAGUGUCUAUUCUCCAAAGUUGGCAAUGAAUAGUCUAAUAGUUUGGCUGUCUCUCUGCAAAAGUUACACUAUACAACUUUCUAAGAUCCAUAUGCUAUAUAUCACAUCACCACAGCAUCAAACACUAAGUUUGGUAGCUUAUGGAUGUGCUGAGAAAGAUUAAAGACUAUAUGUUGGUUGGAAUUGGGAGUAGGCUUAGAUUGCAACUGAGGCUAAGAUUUACAAUCAUUGUUAAUCUUAGGCAAUGUAGAUACUCGACAUUUACCUCGAAAAAAGAUUACACAUGUUAUCAUAAAAAUGAUUGCAACUUCAAUGCUUCCUUUUCAUAAUGUAUCUUUACAAAUGAUCAUGUAGGAUGUGAACUUGAAGUCAAGAUCUGGCAAUGGUGAAAUCAACAUGGGAACAUGAAAUGCACAGUCCCUUAUCAUUUUUGAGGCAGCUUCCUUUUUUGCUUGUUCUAAUCAAAUCAGUCUUUUUUUUGUCAAUCUCACAAAAAAAGAACUGAGCUCAGGAGCUGUCCCAACUCUCUUGGCAAAUCCCUACCUACAAAGUUCACUUGGGGUGAGUUGGGACUUGGCUAGUCUCAUCUUCCAUCCACCUACCACCUCCAUUGUUCAUAACCUGCAGCCAUUUCAAGUUUCCAAGUCUCCUACUUGUAUUGAAAAUACAGUUCCUCAUCUAAUGCUUGGUUGUUGGAUGCAUGGUUAAAGAAGCACAUGCAACAUGUGAACCAAACAUAGAGUACAUGCAUUUGUAAUAUAUGAAUAAACCAUCAUAAAUAUGUAUUUUUAGGAUAGAAUGUUGAAGGUAUCAAAAGUUUUUAGAAAGCAUGUGCAACAAAUGUCUUCCACUAUCAAACUUACAAGACAAUGGGCACAGGAAACAACAUUUGGGGUGGUUAGAUAUGAACUUAAGUUUAAGAUUGAUGGGAGAUGUUCCUUCAAACAUCUCCUAUCAAUAAAACUGUGUAUAUUGAUCCUUCUUGCUUCUCUCUAGACUUGAAUUUUAGGGAAGAUUUUAUGAGUAUAUCAUGUGAAGAUAAUAUUAAAUACCUAUUAUCAUAGAAAUAAAUAUAAUAUGUCAAUAUCAUCUUAAUAUAAAAAAUUAUAUGUUUAGAAGGCAGCAUCAACCAAUUCAUUUGGUCUUUCAUGCCAUGAGAUAUAACAAAAUUGGUUAGUAUUAUGUCACACUCUAAAUUAUUAGAGGAGUUAUGAAUAUAACAGUUUAACUCCUAUUGAAUAUAACAUUUGAAAUUUGACUCUUCUUAAUCAAGACUCAUUUAAAAUGAUAUGUUUAAGAAAUCUAUGGGCAUAGUAGUCAAAAGAGGUAAAAUGAUAAAUAUUAGUAGUACGAGGAGAAAUAAAGAAAGACCUAAAAGGAUCUUAAUGAAAAUUAUUAAUAAAGAUUUAAAUACUUUAAGUUUAACUAAAUAUAUGACUUUUUAACUGAUUUCAAAUAGUUGAGACUUGAAGUUUUAUUAUUGUUGUUGUUAUAUAAAAUUUUAAGACUUAUAUUAGUAAUUUAAAUUAGAUGAACACGCCAACUAAUUUGGAUAGUACACUAUAAAUAAAUGUAAUGGUAUGUAUUAUCAUAUUAUUAAUUUUUUACAAUUAUAUAUAUAUUUCUUGGUCUUCUUUCCUAAAUACUCUCUUUCAUCAUCUUCCUAUUAUUUUUUGUUUAUAUUUGUUUUUGACAGUAUAGGUUUCUAAAAAUAUUAAAUAUUUUUUCGUUAAAAAAAUAGGUUAAUAAUUUUGAUUAGAACAUGACAAACUUCCAUUAGUAUUAUAAGAAAUUAUUUGCCAUAGUUAUUUUUAUACAAUUGUCCCCAAUAUAAAUCCUUGAUGUAUUGGCAUCAACAUGACAUUCUGUAUGACAUAUUUUGUAUCAUUGGAAAAAACAUUUGAUUGAUUAUUUUGAAUCUUGAAUUGGCUAAUCAGUAACUAUAAUGAUUUUUAGAAUUUUAAAAUAAAUUAUAGUGAUGUCAGUAUAAUCAAUCAGUCGAUUAAUAUUUUUAGAAAACAUCCAUUUGGAUGACCAAAAAAUAAUUCAUACAUCAGUAUCACUCCAUCAAGAAUUUAUGGCAUAUAUAAGUCCCUACAAUAUUAUUAGUUAAAAAUCUAUAUAAUUUUAAAAUUUAAAAUACCUUUAUUUUUUAUCCAUUUUUUACAUUUUUCACCGCACUUUUCGGUCUUAAAAAGAAACAAUUACUUUAACAAUUACAUCAGAUAUACAAAGAGAAUCAAAGAUUUGAUGUCAUCAUAGAAGAAGCUCACAAAAGAGCCACAUAAACUCAUGAACAUUAAUAAUGUCAAUUGGAAGUUCAAAAUCAUUAAAAUAUUAACUAUAAUAAUUUUUAGAAUCUUAAAAUACAACAUGAAUGUGCCAAAUUUAAAGAAAUUAAAGGGGUAAGUAUAUAAAUAAUUAAAAACACUCCAUUCUUUCAUCACCAUCAGUAAGUCGAAUCCCUGAAGCUGAUCUGACCAUAUAUUGCCCCUCUCUCAUAUUGUAUUUGAUCAUAUCAAUUUGAUGUGAUGGGCAUCGGAUUAAUGUUUCAAUAUAUAUAUAUAUAUAUUGUCAACCAAUGAAUAAAAUACAUAGCUGACCAAUGAAUUGAAGUUUAAUUAAUCGACAUCAUCGCAUCUCAAUCUUUUGGGACAUUUGGUACUUUGACCAACCGACCAAUAUGAACUCUCUCUUUCUUCCUCUCCUUUCCAUCCAUCGUUUUACUAUCAAUCUAGAAUUCCAUAGCCACAUCAUGACAAUGAAGAGAGAGUUGUUUUCUUUAAUGAGAAUAUUAAAAUAUUGUUUGAUUUCUUGGACAAUGUUUUAAGUCACGGAUAUUGACACCAUUUCACUGUCAUAUGGUUCCACAUAAACAUCAAAGCAUCACAAUUUACUCCACUUUCAAACACCUAAUUUAACCCCAUUCUAGUAUGACAUGAAUUCAAAUAUAAAUAUUUUUCUUUUGUCAUAAUAUUUCACAUUAAUUGAGUGAUCAUAAAUGCUGGAUGUUUUAGGAAGCACAAAAUAAGAGUGGAUCCUUUGAUUGGAACUCUUCAAAUUAUACUGAUUCAACUGUUGCCUUCCAGAAAUCCACUUCUCAGUAGAAAAUGAUGGUGAAAUUUAAUUACUUAUUGAAUAUAUAUAUAUAUAUAUAUAUAUAUUUUUACUAGACAAGAAGGUCAAAUUUAUGCAGUUCUAUGCAAGUAGAUAAACUAUUUCCAUGAUCCUUUGAUUUUGUUAUUUUUUACAAAUCCAGUUAUUAAUGCUAUUUCAGUAUUUAUAAUUGCUAGUGAUUUAGUAAAUAUGAUUCAUUACAACUCUUUUCGCUGGCAAUAUUAGAAAAAAUAAUGUUUAAAACCGAAGGAAAUUAAUUCCUGUUAAACAUGUCAUGUUAAUACGAGUUAGAUGGAAUAUUAUUCUUAUUUCAGAAACACUCUCUUCAGAGUUCUAAAACUUUAUUUGCGAUCGAUCUAGUUUGAGCAUUGGCAUGCUCCCAUGCUAGUUUUAUAGUAAUGUUCGUGACACGAAGGGCUCGAGAGAGGAGUAUCGACAUAAUCGGAUAUUUCGUUCUACCGAAGAAAAGCGGCCAAGUCAAAUUGAAUUGUUCCCAUUAAUGAAGCUAUAAGUCAAGAAAAAUAUUAUAUUUUUCUACUAGUCUAAGCAUUUAUUCCACGAGAAACUUGAGUUCCAUGGAGGCAGAUUUGAAGUUGUUCUACUUCCUGGCUUUCAUUACACCAAACACACCGACCGCUGAAUGCGUACAAUUCUCCCACCAUUUUUGAAGAAAAUUGUCACUAAACACUUUUGAUUGUUACGAUGAUUUCAAAAGAAUUUUUGUGUCAUACAAUUGGAUGAAACAUUUCUAUACUAUAAUAGUCGAGCUAUUGAUCAUUGCUAUGCUUCAUUAUUAUUCGUUGCAAAGUAGAAGAAACAUUAACAAUCAUAAAGUCUUAUAUGUUAUCAUCCUAAGCAUUUAUUUUUCCAAUCGAAAAAGAGAAGAGAUUAUUCUUCACAUAAAAUUUGAUAUCAUAUGUGCUUAAAAUGAAUUCUUCUACGAAUAGAUAAAUAAUGGAUCAUAUUCAAAUUCGAUUGAAGGUAGAGAUAAAUAAUGGAUAAGUAAGCAUGUUCCAAAUAUGUAUUAAUAUCAAAUAGAGCUAAACCAUGUUCUUUUUUUCAUCAAGGAGUUGAGGUAUCAAAAUUGAUAUUAACAUGGUCUUGCAACAAAUAUGUAUGUGUUGGUGUAUAUAUGUAUAUCAAGAUCGAAAUAGGUUUUAGAAAAUGUUAUAUUUACAUUAUAUUAUGAUAGUAAAAAGAGAAGUCAAAAAAGAAAAGAAAAGACUUCAAUUCCAAAAUUAAGAGCUUUAAAAAUUAAGUGCAAACAAAUGGAAGUUUUUCUUUUGAAGAGAAAAGAGUGACAAAAUCUUCAUUUUAUUGGGGUUUCAUUUCAAGCUCUCAUUUCAGUUCCAUUUCCUCCUAUACAAAAGGGCUUUGAUGCUGCCUUGUAUUAUUUAUAGGCACAGGGAGUCACCCAGCUCUCAGUUCUGCCAUCUCUCUCUCUCUCUCUCAACCUAUGUGAUACUGAGCUAUGACGAGUCUCAGGGAGCAGGUAGUUUAUGGUGAUGGGUUCUGAGGAGAUGGAGCAGGAGAGAGGAAGAGCGGUCGUGGAGGAGACCACCCACCUUCCCUCCUCUACUCUUUCUCUCACACCCACACAACUGCUUCCUCGGCCGGUGAUGAUGAGAGUCAUCCACACUCGCCUCCCUUAGAAGAAGAAGAACAACAACAACAACGCUUGUCUGAGCGUGAGACAUACAGUGCCUUCGUUUUCUGCGUUCCGCAUCACUACCUCUGGCUUUUGCAUCCUUCUACAAGACCAGACAUGAAGAGAACGCUCGGUACCUCAGAUAAUUCUCUGAUCCACAACUGCUCCUCCGGUACUUGUUGCCCAACUCUUCUUGCUUCUCAGAUCUCUUUGUCAUCGUGUAUAAAUCUCCAAAGGAAAAGAAGCGAGAGCUGAUGACGUCUUGGUUAGCAGGAGAAGACCAGGAAGACGUGUAUGGCGGAGACUUCCAACCGAUCAUGGAAGGGCUGGACGAAGACGACGGCGGCGGCGACGAGGAGCUGUGUGCCGCGACGACGGCAGGGGGAGGAGCGAAGAAGCGCCGGCUGAGCACGGAGCAGGUCAGAGCUCUGGAGAAGAACUUCGAGGUGGAGAACAAAUUGGAACCGGAGCGCAAGGUGCGGCUGGCCAAGGAGCUCGGCCUUCAGCCCCGGCAGGUGGCCGUCUGGUUCCAGAACCGCCGAGCCCGGUGGAAGACCAAGCAGCUGGAGCACGACUACGCCGCCCUCAGGACCAGCUACGACGCGCUCCGCCUCGACUUCGACUCCCUCCACCGCGACAAGGAAUCGUUGCUCUCGCAGGUGAACUGCGCAAACCAUCCGGAAACCGAUCCCGGACUUAAUCGAUUUGUUGUACGACGUGACAUGAACCUGAUCUCCUCAUCUUCCACCACGGCGCAGAUAGAUGAUCUGAAGGCGAAGUUGGCCGAAACCGAGGGCUUGAGCUUGAGCUUCUCUUCCUCGGCGAAAGAAGGGCCGGCGGUCCCCGAAACCGCAGCCAAAGCCCCGGAAUCGGAGGACCCACCGGCUGCGAUCUGCAAGGACGGAUCGUCGUCCAGCGACUCGAGCGCCGUCGUGAACGACGCAGCCAUAGCCAACGACGAGAACAGCCCUCAGUUGACCACAGCCUCCGAUAUGUUUUCGGCAGCGACGGCAGGGGCGUCCGGGGAACUCGGCAGCGAUUCGUCCAUGUUGCUGAAUUCGGACUCGAGGCCGAGGUUCUUCUGUCAGCACCACGAGGUCUUGAAGAUGGAAGAGGAAGAGCUCCUCUGUGAGCCCUGCUGCAGCUUCUUCUCCGACGAGCAAGCGGCGACGCUCAACUGGUACUACUCCGACCAUUGGAACUGAGACUCUCGAGUGUGUGUAGGGGGGGGAGGAGCCGAGAAUAAUAUCCAAAAAUUGGAGGGUCUUUUCAUAAAAGUUUUGUUAAAUACGAUUGUAUGUACCACUCGCUUCAAAUAUUAUAUUUUGUAGAGCCAAAACAAAACAAAACAAAAUCUUUGAGCCCUAAGAAGCGUGAGAACAGAUGGGAGAAAAAGGAAUUAAAUAUUAAAAAAAGAAGCAAUUUUAUUAGAAAAUUAUUAGGCAAAAUGUUAAUUAAUUUGGAUAAUUUUAAAUUUGGGUAAAGUAAACAAACCUCUUUAAUCCUCAUCAAAAUAUAUGCAACCAAUCACAUGGGUCCUUUUUGUGAAGGGCAGUAAGUAUCCUUCCCUCCCUACUCAAUUAAAUUAGUAGGUGUUGUGUGCUGCAUGGUUUUGGUGACAUUUGCCACCAACAUAAUUUCUCAUGUCAAUCCUGAAAAGAGAAAUCAAAUCUAAAACUCGUGUAUCGUAAAACGAUCGGGCGAAUCAAGGCGUUCGCUGGCUCGGUGGAGCAGCCAACUCCGGCAUUGCGACUUGGUUUGGAGGUUUCCGUGACGUGGCCUCGGGUGCAGUCAACAGCCCCCAUUUGUUUGCAUUCGGUGGUGGGACCAAUUUGGGCAUCUCGGCCACGCUACACACGGACAGAGGAGGCAUUACCUUUCCCAUUGGUCCUUGUCAUCGUCUUUGAGUCACAAAUAAAUCAACGUGCCGUGGGCUCCACACGAUGGGGAUUUCAAUGAGGAUGGAAAAGUACUCCUCUGUUGAUUAAUGAAGAUCUAAUAUAUAUAUAACUCUCAUUUUACAGUAAUAUCCAGCUAAACCAUGAGACUUAGAUCAAGUCGUCGAGUCCAAUUUACUGCUAUCUCAAAAAUGUUUAAGUGUCGGAGGAGGCGUAACGGGCGAAAUAUCCCGAUAUGUUUGUGGGAAGAGAAGCACGAAAGAGACUGACCAUCUCCUCCGCCCUCUCCGGCCUCGCCAUUUUUCCUCGGCAGAUUCUCCUGCGAAAGCUUGACAACAACACUGCCUUGUUUGGAUGUGCGAGUCAGAGACACGCAUUCAAUGCAAGCUGUCAUCGGCAUGCCCUGUUGGUGGAAUCACAUGCUCCUCCUCCGUAGAGUUGCUGUCACCUCUCUCUCUCUGACCUGUGAUCCUCUCUUCAUCACUAUUGUAAGAGGAAUCUGCCUGCCUUGGUUCUCGGUGGUGAAGCAUUUCGGAGCAAGGAUAGCCAAGUAGAUGAUAUUAUAAUAAAUACUUAGAAGAGUCAAAGCAAUAAUAUUUAAUGUCUGAGGGAAUAACCUAUAGGUAUAUAAUAUAGCCAUAUAGCCAUAUAAGUUAAUGAAAUAUAUUUUUUUCACAUUAAGAAUUUAAGAGCAAUCGGUCCAUUUCAAGCUUACUUCUUAAUGUUCAUUUUAAUGCACUAAGCAAUAGAUAUGCUUCAAGGUAGUAACACUCUCUCAAGUGAAUUCAACGGGCCUCGGCGCCGAGGUGGGACGAGCGCAGCCCACCUGAUUAAAAUCAGACACGAUUGUAUUGGAUCUGAGCCCAACAUAAGUCACGGGAUGUGGUUCGAUCGAACCAAAUGAAGGAAUCCCCUCUCUCACACGCAACUAAAUCAAUGGACACGCGUGCCAUGAGAAGACUGCUGGAAACCUAAUCGGCCACCGGCGGCAGCGUCUUCCUCUCCAUCGGCGAAUGGCGGCGGCAAUGUCUUCCUCAAGCGGGCUGCAUCGUCGGUAUCUCUCCUCCUCCUCCUCCUUUGCCGUCGCCCACACUUCCCCAACCGCCUCCCUCCAUCUUCCCGCCCCCACCUUCGCCGCCAGCGUCACCUCUUCUUCGCCUCGUCGUAGCCGUCUUCCCGCUUCCUCCAUGCGCCGGCGUUUUCCCUUCUCCUCCCGACGUCGGCGUCUUCUUUCUGUGUCAUCCUUUCACCCCCGCGGCCAGCGUCUUCUCCCCCUUCGCUUCGCUGCAGCCGCCCCAGCAACCCUCUCCCGUACCUCCUCCUCCCUCUCCUUCUCGUCGGAUCCUUCAUCCUUGCCCCCCUCCCAACUGACAGCAACCCCCUCUUCAUCCUCCUCCUUCUACGUAAAUUGUUUUAUUAAUAUAGAUUUGAACAAGCAUUAUUUGGUCCUUUAAAUGAAUACUAUGUUUCUUUUUUUGUUUUAGCGAUUAUAUCUAUUAAUCAUGAUGUAUACUUUUAAAAUUUUAAGAAGCAUCUCUCUUCACUCGGGCCAGCGUCUCGGGCGUUUUGAUACCUUGGCGGCGUUUUAACACCUUGGCGUCGUUUAAUGUCUGUCGACCUCGAGCACACUGCUAGAGAAACAACUUGGUUCACAUGUUUGGUUCCAUUUAAUUAUUCGGACCCAUGCAUGUUGCCAAACUUUGUCGAUGUUAGUUUUCAUGCUUGGUCCUUUUAUGUGCAUAUUUGAAUUCAUCUGAACCAAAUUGAGCACAUCACAGCUCCACAAAAAAUCAUUGAAUUUGAGCUGCAUUGGUUAUAUAUGUAUUCUAAAAAUGUUAUGAGAUUCAAGUGAGAUUGUCAUGAUUCAAUUUUAACCUAAACAUGUUUCAGCUGCAUUCCCUCACAUCAAGUUCUAUGCUUAAACUAACCUGUCCGUGAGUCCCUCAUGCAUAAAUGUCUGCCUGCAUGUACACGUUUGAUUGCAUGCCAUUAUUUUAUUAUAUCAAUCUUUUGAUCCCAUUAUUAAUUUUUUGUUGCUUACCACAUAAGUCGGUCGGUUCUCAAAUGGUUAUGAAUGCCAAAUAAGUUUGUAAUAUGACUUUUGAUUAUCGUUACCUAUUUGUUGCUCAGACAUAAUAAUACAUGUGCAAUUUAGUUAUCAGAUAAAACCACGCACAUGGGAGCAUUGCACAUAUUUCCUGUCUGUUUUUGGCUCUUGUGGUAACUUCAUCAAAUGCGUGCUGAUUCUGGUGUCUUGCAUUGAACCACAGUAAUGAAUUGUUGGACCUCCUUUCGCAUGUAUACUAAUUAUACAUACAGAAUGCAUUUAUAUAUUCAAUUUUGAGGCUAAGAGAUUGUCUAUAUUAAUGGAUUUGGAGAGGGCAGUUAGGUACUAGAAGCUAUUAGGACCUGUCACUGUCUCUUAAUGCUAUCCUCUGUCACUAAAAGUACAAGCUGAGUGAACAAUUAGAAUGUGACAUGAUUUCCAAACCCCAAAAUAGACCCAAAAUCUCAAUGUGUUUGGUUAGGUAUAACCUUACAUCUUUAUGUCGGCAUAAUGUGGUCUCCUCUGCAGGCUGAUAGUAACUCUCUUGGCAACUUGAUACAUGUUUGUACAUCAAAGCAUAUCGGUGUGCUUAUAUUUGAAUUACCAUUCUUGUAUUUAUACUAGUAGCAAUAGAAAAACAUUUAAAUGUUCUUAAUUCAACCACAGGUGUUUUCUUACACAGAGUUCAUUGACGCAAAAGAUGCAUAUAGCUGAUCAUGAAUAGUUACAUUAUGACUUUUAUUGUUGUUGUGCUUGUUUGCACUUGCUGGUUUUAUUGGAAAAUUCUCACUGAUCUAGGCUAUGUUGGUGAAACUUCUCAAUAAGAAAUAUUUUUUUCUUUAUUAAUGACAUCAAGAUAUUUUCUAAUACUGUAGCUGAAGCUAUUUGCACGAGCAGUCUUUCUAUAAAAUUAAGUUCCUUUAUCAACAUAGAACCAAAUAAACUAGUAGCAUUUCUUGAUCAAGGCAGCUUUCUUACCUCUUGGUUCAUUUUUCAGAAAAUUUGUUGCCUUUCUCAGGUCUUUCAUCGAAGUUGUAAUUUUUUGUCAAGUUGUAUUAACAAUGGCAUCUUUAGCAUGUUGAACCUCACAGGUAACUUUUUUGUUAAUUUCUUAAACAGUGUAUUUUCUAGUUACCUGUCUUUCUAGACUUGUAACUAGGUCAUCUCUUUACAUUCAUGAUGAAAAGGUUCAAUUAUUCUGCAAGUGCUCACUUGAAAUGUUUCAGGUUUUAGUUGUAGUAGGACAUUAGUGAAUCUGAUGUUAGAUAAAACAGUAUGCAUCUUUGACUUAGUCUGAAUUCUGAAGUACCCCUUGCAAGUCAUUGACUGAUGUUCAACCUAUUAGUACAAACUUGAAUAUCAUCCAUAUAUGAUCAACGUAAUGAAUGCCAUUGCCACUCUUAUGCAGCAUGUUUGAUGAAGAUACAUUUGAUAUGAUUUUCUAAUUGCUGCUGGGAUAUAGUGUGCUUCACAGUUUCUAAAGCUCCUAACUACAAUAGAGAAAUAAUGGAAGGUAGUGUCAGUGCGCAUGUGUCACAUCAAGCCAUUGUUUCAGUGGUGUAGAAUUGCAAGGAUGGAAGUGUGAUAAUAAGUAAAUUAUCCAAGGUAUUCUUAAUCAACUCUCAUACACAAUUUAGAGAUUUAUUUCUGAAAGAAAUGGCUUAUGGAAACUGAAUGCAGGUGGAUUAACAUGAGUGGUAGAGGAAUGUCGUCGGAUCAGAUGAUUAGUUGAAAGUUUUCAACUUCCUUCUGGUUGGAAGCAGAUACAGAAAAUAUAUAUAGUUUUGGUGCCCUCGAUUUGAGGUAGAAGAGGAAUCUGAACAUAGAGCAUCCAGCAAUAAGACUACUUUUCUUGUAUUUUUCUGCAAACAGUACGUGAUACUGCUUCAAAAGAUCAUGUUUUUGGUGCAAAAGAGGCUCUUUUGCUAUCUGCCAAGUAACAAGUCCACUAUCCAUCUUUCCUCCUAUCAACUUUGCGGUCUGUUUAACUUCUCCACUGCUAAAGACCAAAGUUCAGAGCAUAGUUCCAACUUUAUAGUGGUCGACUCCCUUCAUUCAUGUGAACUUUCCUCAGAGAAGGCUGCAAAAAAAGCCAAGUAUCACACCUGUCACAAAAAUUCUUCGAGUCUUUCCAUUGAGUUCUUUAAGCAGAGCGGUUGGAGUGAUGCACAAGUCAUGAAACUUAUCCGGAAGUCACCGCUGUUGCUGCGUACUAAGGUAGAGACUGCCCUGAAGCCCAGAAUGAGAUCUUUGAAGGACAUGGGAUUUUCUGACACUGAAAUAGUUCAGCUGGUUUCAUCAUGUCCAUCUGUACUCCUUUUACGUGAUAUCCAACCAAAGAUCGACUUCUGGAGGUCACUACUUGGUUCUAAUGAGAGGUUACUGAAUGCCUCUAGGAGGAACAUGUUUCUACUUGGUUCUAGCAUGGAUCGGAAGAUAGAACCUAAUGUAUCUCUCUUAAGGGAAUGUGGCAUCAGUGACAAACGCAUCGUGUAUAUGGUGAUGACAACGCCGGCCAUUAUGGGUCGAUCAAACAAAUAUAUGAAGGAAGCUAUCAAAUUAGUUAAGGAGUUGGGUGUGCCAUGUAACUGUAGAAUGUUCCCUUAUGCACUUAGUAUGGUCACCGGCAUGAGCCGAUCCAGGUUUUAUGAUACCUUUGCAACCCUGAUGAACUUUGGGUUCUCCCUGCAAGACAUCAUAGCUGCAUUCAGGAAGCAUCCAACCAUUUGGUAUUUGUCGAAGAAGAACAUAUGUGACAAGAUGACUUUCCUGUUGAAGGAAGCUGGUUGUGAGCUGACAUAUAUCAUUUCCCAUCCUGUGAUUCUUGCAUACAGCUUGGAGAAGAGGUUGAAACCUCGAUAUGCAAUUCUGAAUUUUCUUGAGCAGAAUAAAUUGCUGGAUAAAGUAUAUAGCCUGAUGUCCGUGAUAAUGCUAUCGGAAAAGAAGUUCCAAAAUAAAUUUCUUUUCCUGCUUCGCGAGGAGAAAUCUAUUGCUCUAUAUGAUUCCUAUUUGAAAUCUGUUGCUCAAUAGGAUUCCUAUGUUGCUGCUGGGCAUGGAAAGCACCAUGUUGUUUGGGAAAAUUAGGAUUGCAUGUGCUUCCUCAGACAAAGUGUCAACUUAUUGCACACUUAUUUAAUCAUGUUAAAUUUGUGACAAUUUAAAUUCUCCAAGGAGCUUCUUUUCUUUUAUUCUUUGGUACAACAAAAGAUACGGAUUCUUUUAUGCAGAAAUAUAGUGAACCAACGGGGAGAAGUCUUACUUAAGAAAGAUAUAAAGGUAACUAAAAUGUUUCAACUCUGUCAGCUAUCUGUGUCAACUUGGCAUCAGUCGUAUUAAUUUAGAUGAUUAAGAACUUGUUAAUUAUGUGAGUAUGAAUAGGGACUAAUAUAUGAUAGUAAAGAGUUAAUUGUGUGAGGGCUUUCUUUGUCAGAAUCCCAUCACCUCUCCACCGGCUCUAAAUUACAUCUCUAUUUAUAUGGAAUGAAACCUCUAUUGUUACAUGUUGUUAAUCAUGCACUAAUAUAUGAUAGUUAAGUGUGAUUUAUUGAAGAUAUCGAUUUACUAUAUACUAUUGUUGAAAAAUGAACCCACGAGAGUAAUACCUUUCGAUUUAUUGUUGGAGCGCACUAACGAAUAUUCAGUUAUGCAAAGAUGAUUAUUAUAAUAUGAUGAUUGAAUUUUGUGUAUACUAUGGUACAUUAGUGCAUGUGGCAAUUAUGAGAUUUAUUAGAUAGUAUCAACAUGCACUAUUGUAAGAGGCCCCGUGAGAUCAACGUGCACUAUUGUGAGAUUUAUUAUAUAGUAUCAACUGUCACCUCUCUCUCCCUCUCUCUCUCUCUUUCUCAGCCCGUGACUGCAUGCAUGCAUCCCAAUAUUCGUUCUAGUCAUCGUUCUAGUCAUAUCCAGACAUACUCACACAUUAAGAAUUUAAGAGUCAUCGGUUCAUCUCAAGCUUGCUUCUUAAUGUUCAAUUUAAUGCACUAAGCAAUAGAUAUGGUUUAAGGUAACAACACUCUCUCGAGUGAAGUGAACGGGUCUCGGCGCCCCCCUGAUUCAAAUCAGAGAGGACUAUAUUGGAUCUGAGCACAACAUAAGUCACUGGAUCUGGUUCGAUGGAACCAAAUGAAGGACUCUCCUCUCUCACACACAACUAUAUCAAUGGCCACGCGUCCAAUGAGAAGACUCGUGGAAACCUAAUCAGCCACCGGCGGCACCGUCUUCCUCUCCAUCCGCGAAUGGCGGCGGCAGCAAUGUCUUCCUCAGCGGGCUCAUCGUUGGUAUCUUUCUCCUCCUCCUCCUCCUCCUCAUCCUUUGCCGUCGCCCACUCUGCCCCAACCGCCUCCCUCCAUCUUCCCGCCCCCACCUUCGCCGUAGCCCCCCCGCGACCGGCGUCUGCCCCUGCCUCUUCCUUUCCCCUCGUCGUAGCCGUCUUACCCCUUCCUUCCUGCGCCGGCGUUUUCCCUUCUCCUCCCUACGUCGGCGUCUUCUUUCAUUGUAUCAUCCUUUCACCCCCGCAGCGUCUUCUCCCCCCUUCGCUUCGCUGCAGCCGCUUGAUAAGACCCUAAGGUUUUAUCAGGGAAAAAAUUGGGAGAAAAGGGGACGAUCACUUCGAGAUGAUCGGCCUCCUUGAUCACUUCGAGGGGAUCGUCGACGGGAACUUGUCUUCGUGCCCGGCACCCAGUGUGCAGCUGUUUGUUCAACAUUCUAAAGUUUUUGUUUUUCUCAUUUAUCUCUUUUCUCUUAUGCACGCAAAGUGUUCGCUGAAUGGCUUUUAAAGCUUUUCUUUUUGUGGGACGUCGGGACUUGUCCGUUGUUUAUUCUUCGAACUAAUCAACUUUUUCUUAUGCACGCAAGGUGUUCGCUGACCUUUGCGGACACAUAUCACAAGGGCACGUCAUGACUUUGGCAAUCCCAAUUAAGUCCAAGAAGUUGACGCAACGGCGCUUUGCGACUUAGGCAACUCAAGCCAAAUUUGUGUCUUGGCCGCAAGGGUGCCUCACGACUUAGGCAAUUCCAGUUAAGUCCGUGACAAGGCGACGGUGAAGAAGGAGGCAACGAGGGUCACGGUUGGGAUGUGUUGGCCGGGAGCAGUGGCGGUGGCGGUUGCUGGCCGAAGAUGCAAGGCUGACCCUGUUUUGGUCGCCGCGAGGAGGAGAGGUCGAGCGGCUGCGGUUGCGAUUGCGACCCAAGGGGGGGCGGGCGACGGUGGAGAAGGAGGCAGCGAGGUUCACGACUGGGAGGUGGGCGACGGUCAUCGUUGGCCGGGAACUUGCUGUGGUGGAGAGGGGAAAGAGGGAUGCUCUGUUUCUAUCGCACCACAGCAGGAGCCACUGGCGAUGUCGAAGGAUCGCGAGCGGUUGAGGAGAAGGCUGGCAACGGUGGUGGCUCGGGUGGGAGGUGACGGGCGACGGUGGACUCUGGCCGGGGAGCGGGGCUGUGGUGGGAUGGGACAUUGGCAGCGUCGUCUCCUGGCAGCGGUGGUGGCUUGGGUGGGAGGCAACAGGCGAUGGUGGACUCCGGCCGGGAAGCAGGGCGGUGGUGGUAGCGGCGGUGGGGUUGGUUGGAAGUAGGGAAAGUAUGAGCCCUUUCCACCAGCGACAGUGGUGGAGGAGAGGGGAAGCAGGGGUUCUCGGUUGUGCGUGGCUGCGCCCCCUUUUUUUUUUUUUAUGAUAACUACAACGAGGACUCCGAGGAUCGCUGCUCUGAUACCAAAUGAUAAGACCCUAGGGUUUUAUUAUGGAAAAAAAGGGAGAAAAGGGGAUGAUCACUUCGAGGGGAUCGACCUCCUAGGGUUUGUCAAAAGACUUAAUAAUAUUUCAUUGUCUCCGAAAAGAAACGAUUACAUCAUUAUUUAUAGAGUUCCACUUAGAAUCCAUCACGACUUGGACUCUUAAUAAUAAAUAAAUAUUAAAUAAAUUUCUAUCCGAUUCUAACUGAAUUAAACAUACUCAAUAAACAUUAUUCAAAAGUUUAGAAAAUAAAAAGGAUCCUAACAUCGCCCCAGCAACCCAACCGACAUUGACAACCAUUCUAACCCGUACCUCCUCCUCCUCCUCGGAUCCUUCAUCCUUGACCCCCUCCCAACUGACAACAACCCCCUCUUCAUCCUCCUCCUUCUAUGUAAAUUGUUUUAUUAAUAUAGAUUUGAACAAGUAUUAUUUGGUCCUUUAAAUGAUUACCAUGUUUCUUUUUUUGUUUUAGCGAUUAUAUCUAUUAAUCAUGAUAUAUACUUUUAAAAUUUUAAGAAGCAUCUCUCUUCACUUGGGCCAGCGCCUAGCCAAGCACCUAGCAUCUCAGGCGUUUUGACACUUUGGCGUCGUUUAGUGUCUCUCACCCGCGACCACACUGCUAUAGCACAACUUGGUUCACUUGUUUGGUUCCAUUUAAUUAUUCAGACCCAUGCAUGUUGCCACACUUGGUUGAUGUUAGUUUUCAUGCUUGGUCCUUUAUGUGCAUGUUUGAAUUCAUCUGAACCAAAUUGAGCACAUCACAGCUCCACAAAAAAAUCAUUGGAUUUGAGCUGCAUUGGUUAUAUAUGUAUUCUAAAAAUGUUAUGAGAUUCAAGUGAGAUUGUCUUGAUUCAAUUUUAACCUAAACAUGUUUCAGCUGCAUUCCCUCGCAACAAGUUCUAUGCAUAAACUAACCUGUCCAUGAGUCCCUCAUGCAUAAUGUCUGCCUGCAUAUACAUGUUUGAUUGCAUGCCAUUAUCUUAUUGUAUCAAUCUUUUGAUCCUAUUAUUAUUUUUUUUGUUGCUUACCACAUAAGUCGGUUGGUUCUAAAAUGGUUAUGAAUGGCAAAGAAGUUUGUAAUAUGACUUUUGUUUAUCGUUACCUAUUUGUUGCUCAGACAUAAUAAUAUAUGUGCAAUUUAGUUAUCAGAUAGAACCACACACAUGGGAACAUUGCACAUAUUUCUUGUCUGUUUUUGGCUCUUGUGGUAACUUCAUCACAUAAGUGCUGAUUCCGGUGUCUUGCAUUGAACCACAGUAAUGAAUUGCUGGACCUCCUUUCGCAUGUAUUUACUAAUUAUGCAUACAGAAUGCAUUUAUAUAUUUGAUUUUGUGGCUAACGGAUUGUCUAUAUUAAUGGGAUUUGGAGAGGGCAGUUAGGUACUAGAAGCUAUUAGGAGCUGUCACUGUAUCUUCAUGCUAUCCUCUUCACAUCGAAGCUCUCAUUUUUCUUUUUUGUUGUUGUACAUGCCUCUGGAUCGUUCAUCAAUCAAUGUGAUUUUGUAUUUUGCUGUGCUUAGAUUUUAUUUUUCAUUUUUUUCUUCUUUUCAUUUCUUUGCUAUGAGAUGGUAGAUUUGUGCCUUGGCGGUCAUUAUAAACUGUGGUUUCAUUUUACAUUUUGAAACAUUAGUCAUUUUGGCAUCCAAAAUAAUUUUAUGUGACAUUUCAAAUUUCCUAUGACAUCAAUUACUUUGUUUUGUUCUUGAACAUUGGUACAGUGACAUGGUAUAAGUGAUCUUUUAUACAUGCUCAUUUGGUGAUCAUUGUAACUCGUAAAGGAGGUCAUGAAAAUAAUUUUGACUAAUAUUAGUUUAAAUUUACUUUACUUGAUUGUGGCCCAGAUAAUGUAAUCAAAUGUGGUGCUCGGCAUUUGAAAAUUUUCUUAUUAUACAAUAUCUCCAAUGAUGCGUAUUUAGUGACAACUGAAUUAAUUUCUGGCUCUUGGAUAUGAGCUGGUUCAGAACUGACCUUAGAUGGUGAAUUUUUCAAUCUCAGAUGUUCAAUGUUCUGAAAAUGCAUGCAUGUCAUUUACGAGCAUUUACUUUGGAGAAACAGCAAGCAACAACAUGCAAGUUAAAUACUGUUUAUUAAGAUGGACAGCAGGAGAAGUGCUGCUUUUAGAGAUAGAAAAGAGAAUUGGAAAGUUUUUUGACAAAAAAAAAGCUUGGAAAAGAUUGAACAAGAGAUAGCAGAGACUGUAAUUGUGUUACUGGCCAAAGAAAAUUAUAUUCAUUUGUCAAUAGAAUCAUGCAUACGUCUGGUGAUUCCUCAUGUGAAGGAUUUUAUUUAUAAAUAUAUCUGAGAUAGUACUAAUCUGAUUAGGUUUCCCAAAAGAAGCCCUCUAAACAGCAGCUGCUUGCUUUGAUAAAAGUGUUUGGUUCAUCAAACCUCUUAGUUUCCUUAUUAUGCCUACCACCACAAUUUCCUUUUCAAACACACCAAAACAUUUCAACAAUCAUCAAAACCCCAAAUGGUUCAAAGGACUUGACUCUCACUAAAAGUACAAGCUGAGCAAACAAUUAGAAUGUGACUUGAUUUCCAAACCCCAAAGUAGACCCAAAAUUUCAAUGUGUUUGGUUAGGUGUAACCUUACAUCUUUAUGUCGGCAUAGUGUGGUCUCCUCUGCAGGCUGAUAACAACUCUCUUGGCAACUUGAUACAUGUUUGUACCUCAAAAGAUAUUGGUGUUCUUAUAUUUGAAUUACCAUUCCUGUAUUUCUACUAGUAGCAAUAGAAAAAUAUUUGAAUUUUCUUAAUUCAACCACAGAUGUUUUCUUACACAGAAUUCAUUGAUGCAAAGGAUGCAUAUAGCGGAUAUGACUUUUAUUAUUGUUGUGCUUGUUUGCACUUGCUCGUUUUAUUGGCAAAUUCUCACAGAUCUAGGUUAUGUUGGUGAAACUUCUCAGUAAGAAAUAUUUCUUCCUUAUUAAUGACAUCAAGGUAUUUUUAAUACUGUAGCUGAAGCUAUUUGCACGAGCUGUCUUUCUCUAAAAUUAAGUUCCUUUAUCAACAUUGAACCAAAUAAACUAGUAGCCUUUCUUGAUCGAGGCACCUUUCUUACCUCUUGGUUCAUUUUAUGGAAAAUUUGUUGCCUUUCUCAGGUCUUUCAGCUAAGUUGCAAUUUUUUGUCUAGUUGUAUUAACAAUGUCUUUUCUACUUACCAGUCUUUCUAGUUGUAGUAGGAAUUAGUGAUCUCUGAAAGAAAUGGCUAAUGGAAACUGAAUGCAGGUGGGUUAACGUGAGUGGUAGACGAAUGUCCUCUGAUCAGAUGAUUAGUUGAAAGUUUUCAACUUCCUUUUGGUUGGAAGCAGAUACAGAAAAUAUAUUAGUUUGGGUGCCCUUGAUUCGAGGUAGAAGAGGAAGCUGAACAUAGAGCAGGCAGCAAUAAGACUACUUUUCUUGUAUUUUUCUGCAAACAGUACGUGAUACUGCUUCAAAAGAUCAUGUUUUUGGUGCAAAAGAGGCUCUUUCGCUGUCUCCCAAGUAACAAGUCCACUAUCCAUCUUUCCUCCCAUCAACUUUGCAAUCUGUUUAACUUCUCCACUGCUAAAGACCAAAGUUCAGAGCAUAGUUCCAACUUUAUAGUGGUCGACUCCCUUCAUUCAUGUGAACUUUCCUCAGAGAAGGCUGCAAAAAAAGCCAAGUAUCACACCUGUCACAAAAAUUCUUCGAGUCUUUCCAUUGAGUUCUUUAAGCAGAGCGGUUGGAGUGAUGCACAAGUCAUGAAACUUAUCCAGAGGUCACCGCUGUUGCUGCGUACUAAGGUAGAGACUGUCCUGAAGCCCAGAAUGAGAUCUUUGAAGGACAUGGGAUUUUCUGACACUGAAAUAGUUCAGCUGGUUUCUUCAUGUCCAUCUGUACUACUUAUACGUGAUAUCCAACCAAAGAUCAACUUCUGGAGGUCACUACUUUGUUCUAAUGAGAGGUUACUGAAAGCCUCUAGGAGGAACUUGUUUCUACUUACUUCUAGCUUGGCUCGGAAGAUAAAACCUAAUAUAUCUCUCUUAAGGGAAUGUGGCAUCAGUGACAAACUCAUCGCGAAUAUGGUGGUGACAGGGCCAGCCAUUUUGGGUCGAUCAAACAAAUGUAUGAAGGAAGCUAUCAAAUAUGUUGAGGAGUUGGGUGUGCCACGUAACUGUAGAAUGUUCCCUUAUGCACUUAAAAUAGUCGCUGGCAUGAGCCGAUCCAGGUUUGAUGCUACCUUUGCAACCCUGAUGAACUUUGGGUUCUCCCAGUCAGACAUCAUUGAUGUAUUCAGGAAGCAACCAACCGUUUGGGUUUUCUCAAAGAAGAACAUUUGUGACAAGAUGACUUUCCUGAUGAAGGAAGCUGGUUGUGAGCUGACAUAUAUCAUUUCCCAUCCUGCGAUUCUUAUAUACAGCUUGGAGAAGAGGUUGAAACCUCGAUAUGAAAUUCUGAAUUUUCUUGAGCAGAAUAAAUUGCUGGAUAAAGUAAAUGGCCUGAUAACCAUGAUAAUGCUAUCGGAAAAGAAGUUCCGAAAUAAAUUUCUUUUCCUGCUUCGCGAGGAGAAAUAUAUUGCUCUAUAUGAUUCCUAUGUUGCUGCUGUGCAUGGAAAGCGCCAUGUUGUUGUGGAAAAUUAGGAUUGCAAGUGCUUCCUUAGACAAAGUGUGAACCUAUUGCAUACUGACUGUAUUAUUUAAUCAUGUAAAAUUUGUGACAAUUUAAAUUCUCUAAGAGUUACUUCUUACGGUAGAACGUCCAUGUUGAUUUUGAGAUUUCUUUUCUCUUUAUUCUUCGGUACAACAAAAGAUACUGAUUCUUUAAUGCAUAAAUAUAGAGAACCAAGGGGGAGAAGUCAUUAUUUAAGAAAGAAACAAAGGUAACUAAAAUAUUUCAGAUCUGUCGGUUGGUCAGUGUCCACUUCAUUGAGAGCGAGUUAAUUAGGAGAGUAUGAUUUGAAGAUAUCCUCCAACCCUUAUAAAUAUGCAUGUGAUCAACGUGCUCUAUUGUGAGAUUUAUUAUUAUAGUAUCAACUGUCACCUCUCUCUCUGUCUCUCUCUCUCAGCCCGUGACUGCAUGCAUCCCAAUAUUCGUUCUAGUCAUAUCCAGACUCACACAUUAUGAAUUUAAGAGCCAUCGGUCCAACUCAAGCUUGCUUCUUAAUGUUCAAUUUAAUGCACUAAGCAAUAUAUAUGCUUUAAGGUAACAACACUCUCUCGAGUGAAGUGAACGGGCCUCGGCGCCCACCUGAUUCAAAUCAGAGAGGACUAUAUUGGAUCUGAGCCCAACAUAAGUCACUGGAUCUGGUUCGAUGGAACCAAAUGAAGGACUCUCCUCUCUCACACACAACUAUAUCGAUGGCCACGCGUGCAAUGAGAAGACUCGUGGAAACCUAAUCAGCCACCGGCGGCACCGUCUUCCUCUCCAUCGGCGAAUGGCGGCGGCAGCAAUGUCUUCCUCAGCGGGCUCAUCGUUGGUAUCUUUCUCCUCCUCCUCCUCCUCCUUUGCCGUCGCCCACUCUGCCCCAACCGCCUCCCUCCAUCUUCCCGCCCACACAUUCGCCGCCAGCGUCCCCUCUUCUUCGCCUCGUCGUAGCCGUCUUCCCCCUUCCUCCCUGCGCCGGCGUUUUCCCUUCUCCUCCCUACGUCGGCGUCUUCUUUCAUUGUAUCAUCCUUUCACCCCCGCGGCCAGCGUCUUCUCCCCCCUUCGCUUCGCUGCAGCCGCCCCAGCAACCCAACCGACAAAGACAGCCACCUCAACCCACAGCAACCUUCUCCCGUACCUCCUCCUCCCUCUCCUUCUCCUCGGAUCCUUCAUCCUUGCCCCCCUCCCAACUGACAGCAACCCCUUCUUCAUCCUUCUCCUUCUACGUAAAUUGUUUUUUUGAUAUAGAUUUGAACAAGUAUUAUUUGGUCCUUUAAAUGAAUACUAUGUUUCUUUUUUUUGUUUUAGCGAUUACAUCUAUUAAUCAUGAUGUAUACUUUUAAAAUUUUAAGAAGCAUCUCUCUUCACUCGGGCGUGGAAAGAAAUGGCUAAUGGAAACUGAAUGCAGGUGGGCUAACGUGAGUGGUAGACGAAUGUCCUCUGAUCAGAUGAUUAGUUGAAUGUUUUCAACUUCCUUUUGGUUGGAAGCAGAUACAGAAAAUAUAUUAGUUUGGGUGCCCCUGAUUUGAGGUAGAAGAGGAAGCUGAACAUAGAGCAGGCAGCAAUAAGACUACUUUUCUUGUAUUUUUCUGCAAACAGUACGUGAUACUGCUUCAAAAGAUCAUGUUUUUGGUGCAAAAGAGGCUCUUUCGCUGUCUCCCAAGUAACAAGUCCACUAUCCAUCUUUCCUCCCAUCAACUUUGCAGUCUGUUUAACUUCUCCACUGCUAAAGACCAAAGUUCAGAGCAUAGUUCCAACUUUAUUGUGGUCGACUCCCUUCAUUCAUGUGAACUUUCCUCAGAGAAGGCUGCAAAAAACUCCAAGUAUCACACCUGUCACAAAAAUUCUUCGAGUCUUACCAUUGAGUUCUUUAAGCAGAGCGGUUGGAGUGAUGCACAAGUCAUGAAACUUAUCCAGAAGUCACCGCGGUUGCUGCGUACUAAGGUAGAAACUGUCCUGAAGCCCAGAAUGAGAUCUUUGAAGGACAUGGGAUUUUCUGACACUGAAAUAGUUCAGCUAGUUUCAUCAUGUCCAUCUGUACUAAUACGCGAUAUCCAACCGAAGAUCAACUUCUGGAGGUCACUACUUGGUUCUAAUGAGAGGUUACUGAAAGCCUCUAGGAGGAACAUGUUUCUACUUACUUCUAGCUUGGCUCGGAAGAUAGAACCUAAUAUAUCUCUCUUAAGGGAAUGUGGCAUCAGUGACAAACGCAUCGCGUAUAUGGUGGUGACAAAGCCGACCAUUAUUGGUCGAUCAAACAAAUAUAUAAAGGAAGCUAUCAAAUAUGUUGAGGAGUUGGGUGUGCCAUGUAACUGUAGAAUGUUCCCUUAUGCACUUAGUAUAGUCACUGGCAUGAGCCGAUCCAGGUUUGAUGAUACCUUUGCAACCCUGAUGAACUUUGGGUUAUCCCGGCAAGACGUCAUUGCUGUAUUCAGGAAGCAUCCAACCAUUUGGGUUUUGUCAAAGAAGAACAUAUGUGACAAGAUGACUUUCCUGAUGAAGGAAGCUGGUUGUGAGCUGACAUAUAUCGUUUCCCAUCCUGUGUUUCUUGCAUGCAGCUUGGAGAAGAGGUUGAAACCUCGAUAUGAAAUUCUGAAUUUUCUUGAGCAGAAUAAAUUGCUGGAUAAAGUAUAUGGCCUGCUGUCCCUGAUAACGUUAUCUGAAAAGAAGUUCCGUAAGAAAUUUCUUUUCCUGCUUCGUGAGGAGAAAUCUAUUGCUCUGUAUGAUUCCUAUUUGAAAUCUGUUGCUCUAUAGGAUUCCUAUGUUGCUGCUGGGCAUGGAAAGCACCAUGUUGUUUGGGAAAAUUAGGAUUGCAUGUGCUCCCUCAGACAAAGUGUGAACUUAUUGCACACUUAUUUAAUCAUGUUAAAUUUGUGACAAUUUAAAUUCUCCAAGGAGCUUCUUUUUCUUUUGUUCUUUGGUACAACAAAAGAUACGGAUUCUUUUAUGCAGAAAUAUGGAGAAGUCUUUACUCAAGAAAGAUAUAAAGGUAACUAAAAUAUUUCAACUCUGUCAGCUAUCUGUGUCAACUUGGCAUCAGUCAUAUUAAUAAACUUCAUGAUUCUGUUGGAAUAUGUGAAGCUGAUGACAGUGCUGUCAUUUAGAUGAUUGAGAUCUAGUUAAUUAUGAGAGUAUGAAUAAGGACACUUGAAGGUAGCCAUUCCCAAAUGUAUGUAUGACAUUAAAUGUAUUUGAUUUGAAAAUAUCCUCUAACCCUUAUAAAUAGUUGUAGUCAUGAUAUAUGAAAUGUGCAGAGAGAAAUAUAGUUGUGUGAGGACUCUUCUUUGUCAUAAUCCCAUCACCUCUCCACCGUCCCUAAAUUAUAAAUCUCUAUCUAUAUAUGAGCCUCUCUUGUUACAUGUUAUUAAUCUUUGAGUAGUAUAUGAUAGUAGAGUGUGACUUGUUGAAGAUAUCGACUCACUAUGCCAUCCAUAAUAUAUAUUCUAAUACAUGAUUCAUAACCUAUGUUGUACAGUAAGUGGUGUCACUGGUUAUGCUCGCUCAUGAUUUGUAGUACAUAUAUAACUGAUAUAUGAAAAGAAUAAGAAUUUUUUUAAAAAUAAUUUUAAAAUAUUUUUGCCAUCCUUUUGAAGCAUAUCAUGCUUGAGUGAUACCUAUUUUAUCUCACAUAUGCAUGUACAUGUUUAAUGCAUGGUAAAUGAUUCAUAUUCCUAUUGAUACAUUUAUGGAAUCAUCAUGUAUAUGUAGGUGCGUGCUUGAUGCAUGAUCGACAGACAUAUGAGUUAUCUACUUAGGUUGGUAUAGAGAUCAUGGUUAUACCCCCGUAUGAUAGAAGCUUUACGCCCAUCAUGCAAUAUGUAGCACUCAUUGGGUCGAAUACUUAUUUCACUCUGCAAGUAUGAUCUAUUGUCUUGUGAUUAUACGAUUGAUUGAUUCAACUAACAAUAGAAUAAUAUGAUCAUAUAAUGGUAUAGUUAUGUAAUGAUAUGUUACAAAAUGGCAUGCGAGUCUAAUAAGAUAAAAGAAUCUGGAUGAUCCUUAUCAAUUAUAGGAGGGCUACUACAUUAAAGUGCAAUUCUUUUUAGGGAUUAGUAAGUCAUUAGAUGUAGUAAUUAGAUAAUUUUUCUAUCUAUCGUUGGAAAAUGAACUCAGUCCAUCGGAAUAAUACCUUUCUAUCUAUCGUUGGAGUGCACUAUCGGAUAUUCGGCUAUAUAAAGAUGAUUAUUAUAAUAUGCUUAGAUGGUUAAAUUUUAUGUAUACUAUGGUACAUCAUGCGAUAAUUAUGAGACUUAUUAUGUAGUUUAUUUUUAUUCGUUUAUCGAAAGAAGUAUCCAUCAAUGACAAAUAUGGAUGAAGUACAUAGAUAUGACUAACUAUAUUUGUCGAUAAUAUCAUAUGCAUUUUGUGAUGUGAAUAUGAACAUUAAUUAAUCAAAUGAUUUUAUAUUUUUAUUUAUUAUUCUCUAACUUGUAUAUUAUAUACAUAGUUAAUUCAUUAUGAAAAUGUUGUUAUUAUCUUUUCUCGAACACUAUUGCCUAAGAGCAUGUGUUUAUCCAAAACUAUUUUUACAGAUUUCAGUAAAAAAUAUUUAAAAAUAGUAUGUUGAUAGUUUCAAAGUUAACAAGCAAACAAAGUCGUUAUCGGGGGAGUGAGAUUAUAUUGAAACAAUAAAUAUAAACAACUCUGUGUAAUAAAUUCAUUUAUAAUAAGGAGUUAUUUGUAAGAUAAAAAAAAUAUUAAAUUGUUUUUUUAUUUUUCGAUAGAAAAGACUUCAUCUUUCUGGUUAGGUUAAUUUUGUGAGCGAAGACGGCCGUGUUGUUGUCUACUCGUUCGGCCGCUCUCAUUCGCCAUCGAUUUGGUCUCCAACUCGCGGCCCAAAACCCCGAGCCUCCCCGCGUUCCCUUACAAUCUCGCUUCUCGGAAGAGCAACGGCAGCCAGGCGGCGGAUGACUACCAUGCUGCGAGAGUUGCGGCUGUCGCUGAACCAAACCCAGCGGGUGCGCCUUCAAUCCGCUCUCCAGCGGCUCCAGGACAUGGCUUCCCUCGCCUCCGCCGUUACCGUCGUCGCCGACACCAUCCCCGUCAACCACGAAGACAGCAUCCUUAAGUGUGUGCGCUUUCUGACCCAUAAGAACCUUCGUUCUCUCUCUCUCUCUUCCUCCUCCAUCUUCUUCUUGGUUUUCUCCACAUCCUCCUCUCUCCUUGCGAACUGUUUUAAUCAUCUCCUUCGUCCUUCUUUUCCAUGUUUCGGUGAAGAUUUGCAGUCAUUUUGUCUUCUGUUAAUGGUCUUUUUGUUGCGGUCGUCCCUAUUUAUCUUACGCUUUCCUCCUAUCUCAUGGUUGCUCCUGAAUUCGUGUGAUGGUCAGGGGCCAUGGGACGUCCGAUCUCAACGGCGAAGUAGUGGCCACUCUCUGUGGUGUGGUUGAGCGAGUAAACAAACUGGUGUAUGUCCGUGCUCAGAGAGCCAGGUACUGAUACUGUGCCUUCCUCUUCUCCUAAUUUUGCACUAUUUCUGUUCUUGAUGUUGUAAUCCUUUAUGCUUGUUAAAUGUUCUGUUUAGUUGGUCAAGAAUCAUCAUGCUGCAUGACUUAGUCGAUUGUAUCCGUAUAUUUUCUUAAUUCUCUUUUGUACUAAUUUGCAAAAAAUCCUUGAUUCAUAGACACCCAGGUCAAGUGCGUCAACUACAAUAAGAUUCUUUGUUUUUCCAAUACUCCACUUAUCAACCGCAUUGAUUUCUUUUAGCAGAAGAAUUUGUUGUAACUAAAGUGCUGUAUUGUCUCUCAGUGAGGACAUCUGUUUAGUGACUAGAUGAUGCUGUCUUUCUUCCUCAUAUGAUAUGUUUGAUUUGUUGUUUCAUGACUUACAAAUGAAAAUUUAUUUUCCUUGUAGGUACAAACCAGAGGUUGGAGAUAUAAUCGUCGGCCGAGUCAUUGAGGUCUUGUUGCUUUAUGAUAAAUCUAUAUAUACAUUUCUUUUUGCUAUCACAUAAAAUAUAUAAACAAUUUAUCAUUAUCUGAAUUAUAAUAAGACAAAAAAAAAUCUUAUUUAAGAUGGUUAUCAGUGGAUAUUUGACUAUCAUAAAAUUAUAAUAUAUGUGCAGUCAGCAGUAAAUCGUCAAUUGACUUAGCAACAUGUCUUGUAAUAUUUCCUCUUUUCAUUUUCAUCUGUUAUUUUGUUAAAUGAUUCUACAUUGUGUCUUGUAGAUUGCUCCAAAACGCUGGAGAUUAGAGAUAAAUUUUAGUCAAGAUGCAGUAUUGAUGCUUUCGUCAAUGAAUCUUCCAGAUGGUAUUCAGGUGAGAUCAAAUUCUUGUCUCCUCUUCAAGCUCUGAGCUCUUCAUAUAUUGGAGAACAGAGGUUCUUAUUUUUAUAUUUAUUAUAUUGUGUCAGGUUAUCACUACAUAACCAAUUAUAAACAAUUCAGAAGUUCUCGCAUCUUGUAUAACAUGGAUUUUAUAAUAGAGCUACUGUUGGUGCAUGCUAAAAGAACUGUUUGUUGUACCUAUGUUAGUAAUUUCAUCAAGAAAGUAAUGUGCAUCUGACUGCAGAAUAUCUGGGUGAGGAGCACCAAAAAUUUCCCAAUGUGGUAUCUGACUCUAGAUGAUAAAAUGAUUAUCUAUAAAGCACCUGCAGCAUAUCUAUAUUUGAAUGGUUUACUGUAACUUAUCAUUGUUCUUGGACAACAUGGAAAGCACAGUGAUGAAUCUGUAAACCAAUAAAAAGUACGGGAAGUGAUGCCUUGCUGAUUAGGAUUUUUUUUUGGGAAUUUGAUUUGUUGUAUAAUGCAUAGUCCUGAUAUUUGAAAUCUAAUAAACAUCUUUAGGUGAAGUAGAGACAAAAUAUUUAUAUAUGUCUUUACUUAAUGCUACAAUAUGAUUUAUAUUUUUUGACAAUGAAAAUUGAACUGUAUAUUUGCUGCCACAAUAACUGUACACAUGCAUGCUUAUUGUUGAAUCUGUAUUUAUUGUACAAUCUUGUGUUAGGCAGCUGAUAGCUAGUGUAAGACUUACCUCCUUAGGCUUGGGGCCUUAACUCUUUUUUUUAUUGUUGUUAAUGUUUCUUGACACUAUCAUGUAAUGUCAUGGUGGCAUCAGUUAAAUAACUUCAUAGCAACAUUAACAAUGAACACAUUAAUGAAGGGAAAUUAGGUAUAGGUAGCUUUUAAGGGAGGCGUGUCCUGAGGUAGUUUUAUAAGACUGUCUUUGCCAGAAAAAAAAGCAUGAACAUGAAAAAUCUUGCUAAUAACUAUGGUGUAAUUGCUUGAGAGUGCAAAUUAUUUGUCACUAGAAAAUACAGUUUUAUAGAUUGAAAAAAAAAUUAUUGCUUGAUUUUGCCAAACUCCAUUGAAUCUAUAGUGGCAAAGAUUCUUAGUACUUUAUAUAUCUUUUGUUUGCACCAUUGAUUUUAAGUCAUCGAGUGUGUGUAAACAAAUAUAAAAUAUUAUUGAGUUGUCUUUUUUUGGCAUCUAUAUGAAACAUAAUAAAUUUAAUUUUAUCUCAGUUUUAGGAUCAUCUUGGCAUACACAAGGCUAGUUGUACAUGUUUUAGAGAGGUGGGUUUUGCCAAAGAUUGCUGACCAUUGUUUACCGGUCUGAUCAAGGACCUGUAUUGGACCAUAUGGUUUGGUAAUGGUUGGUAACCUGUUUUUGUUUACUUUUUCAUACAAUACUGGACAGUAUGGGUCAACAUACUACUCGGUGGUUUAUGAUGCGAUACCAGUAUGAUAAAUUACCGAAACUGAUAGCAUAUCAAGUGUCAUCCUUGCAUUUUGCUUUCACUAGUGAGUAGGUAGAUAUAUUUCAUAGCAUGGAUGAAACUAAGAUCACAUUGUUUCAUUGAGUAAUUGAAAAAGGCUUGGAGAAAUGGAGGUCUUACUAUAUUAUGAUAGAUAAAGCAAAAAAAAUGUAAUUGUAAGAAUAAAGAAGUCUAGAAAAAAUAAUGCAUUAUAUAUUCUCUACUUUGUGUUUUAGGUUCAGUUAAGCAAAUUGUUUGUUUGCUGCAGCAUUUCCAUAGAGCUAUUUGACACUCUAGGGGUGAUUUUGUGGCUACUCUUUGCUUUACUUUUUUUCUCAGUAAUAUCUAGUUACUGCUUUCUUUUCCUAGUGCUCUGAGUUUCGUUCAUAUAUUUCUCUAUUCCUUUUUCCCCCUAACUAUAUUUUAGUAUGGUUGAGCUAAUCUGUUUCCUGGUUCACCUCAUUCUAAAUGAUAGAGGCGGAGAACUGCAGUUGAUGAACUCAAUAUGCGCAGUAUCUUUGAAGAAAAUGAUGUAAUUUGCGUAAGUAAUUUAUCUGUUGCUACAAUGAGGAGUUGGUAAAAUAUGAUUUCAGCCCAUUAGUAAAGUCAUCUGCAUUGGUAUUAAUGAGACUUGCUGAAUGAUCUUUAGCUAAUCUGUUUUACUUAUUCAAUUUCAGGCUGAAGUUCGUGGCUUUCAGCAUGAUGGGAGCCUGCACCUACAAGCAAGAAGUCAGAAAUAUGGAAAAGUAAAUCAUAUUGUUAUUAUUUUGCAUGUUCUUUAAAGUUAUUUAACUAUAACUUCAUAGCUUAUUGUCUCCAAAGUUUUUUAACCAUGAAACUGAAGUUGCAAGAAAUUACAUAAGAGAACAAAUGUGUUAGAUCUGAACUCUUGAGAUCAUCAUUGCAAAUUUUGACAAUGAUCAUGGAUGGAUGUGGGAUUAUUUGGGGAUUGUAAUCUCGCCUCUUUAAAAAUCUUUGUUAUCACUAGGACCCAUUGGAUCACUGUAUUCCUUUAUAGGUGAUGGAUUCAUAUGGUUAUGUAAACCCACCGUUUAUUACCUCCAUCGAUGUGCAAUGUCGCACCAUGGAAUUAGAUUUCUGCUGUGUACACAGUAGGUCCCAACAUCGCCUGCACUUUUGAGAAUAAUUAAUGCUCUGAUAUAAUUAGUCAUUACAGCCCAUGCAAGAAACAAGAUGGACUUCACCCUAAGAAGGUCAGGUUAUUGUUAGGAUUGACAGUGGCACUAAGAUGGUGGUUAAUAAUUCAACCAGAAACUUGAACUUGUGCAAGAGAACUUAGACAAGAAUCCAAGAAUUGAAAACACUCAAGCAAUAAGAAAUAUAUGCAAAACAUUUUGUACUAGUUCAGCCAAUGACUAAUGUCCACUCCAGAUUUCUUGUCACCAGAGGUCAUGGAUUUACACUGAUGAUCUUUGUUUCACCCAGGAAGGUCAAAUAGCUUUUACAAUUUUCUCCUUUCCAAGGAUAAUCUCAUGCUUUAAGAAUCACUCCUCUUUACAAGAAUUUCUCGAUUUCUCUUUUACUCAAAUCCACUCAAUUACAAGAAGACAAACAUAGGUGAAGACUUGGAGAUAUUGAAAGCCAAGGGAUUACACCUUUACAUCACGAGAAAUGCUUAAAAUCAAUUGUGUUUUCUCUUUUUGCACUUGAUAUCUGAAGCCCGUACCUUGACGAGGAUAUUUAUAGUUACCUAAGGUCCUUAACCAUUUAAGAAUUUUGUCACAAGGUUAUGAUUCUAGCUGUUAGAGAUCCAAUGGUCUUCUGAUGGUGCCAUCACCAGAGUGUCUACGCCUGAUGUAACAGGCUCAGGGGUCAGUGCUGUUACACACGUAAGUGGUGCCAUCGCCUGGCUUGGGUCAGCAUUUUCUGGCAUCCAUUCAUGACCUGUCAUGCUGUUAAUUUGCACAUUUGUGUAAUAGAUCCAUGAUAUUUCCAAUGUUGUUUAGUCCGCUCAGCUUUAGGCUCUUAGAUGAGUCAAAACUCUUUUUCUCCACGAGCCAUUUUGACUCGAUUAUUUGCAAAUCACUUGAGGAGAUUAGUUCAUUUAAUUUAUCAACUGAGUUAUUCAUCGUCAAAAUUUGGCAUCCAACAGUUAUUUCUUUUUAGCUGCGAGAAUGACACAUAAUAUGCAGAUCAACCUCACAUCCAGUGUGAGCCGACUUGAUUAUCAGUGUUAACGGAGUUAAAACCCGAUUGGUUUCUUCUAAUGUAGUUGUUCUUGUUAAUCUCGAGAUCUAUGAGACUGGCAUAACCUAUUGCAGCAUCUUUGCAUCUUCAGAAAGAACGUGAGACACUUGCAUUCUUGUUGGUCAGAUUUGUUUCUUUUAUGGAUGCUAAAAGUUAGCUGUUAAUGUUUUGCUGUGAACAGGAUAUUUUCAGUCACCAUUGUUUUGGCCUUUCUUCAUAAAAUUACCAAAUGUUUUGUUAGUAUACUUGAAUUAGGAUUUCACUGUUGCAUGUUGUAGUAUGUGUUCCUUGUACCAAUAUCAUGAGCUAUCAUCUUUAUUGGCCUCGCUUAUAACUGCAUGCCUAUACUUAAAAAAUGUAGCUUGGGAAAUAACCAUGUAAGUGAUCUCGAAUAGUUAGAUAUGGGGGGUUAGGGAAUUUAUAUCGUCUGGAUUUCUUAGAAUGAGAACUAGAGUUUGGGAGGACACAACAUAAAGGCUGGUGGCAUUUCUUUAUAUACCUCCUGACAUAAGAAAGCUUUCCUCAGGCUGCUUUUGCUGUAUUAGCUACAUUGAUUGAAUCCAUUUCAUAUUUGUGUAUUAUGUUUCAGUCUCUUCUCUUCUUUCUGUUAUAAUGUUAUGAUACUGGACGUGAAAUGCUAUUUCAGCUCGAGAGGGGUAUGCUGCUUACUGUCCCAGCAUAUUUGGUGAAGCGUCGGAAGCAGCAUUUUCACCAUCUAGAAAACUAUGGUGUUGACUUGAUUCUUGGAUGUAAUGGAUUCAUCUGGGUCGGAGAACAUGUAAAUUCAAAUGGAGAAAAUGAUAUGAUGGUAGACCAAGAGAACAGAGAAGGUCUAGUUAACAAAUCCGAGGUGGGACAAGCAACAUAUGAAGUGCAAGAGCAAAUCACACCACUUGAAAUCAGGAAGCAUGUAUGUCGGGUUGCUAAUUCCGUGCGUUUGCUCUGUGCCUUGGGCUUCAGUCUCACUGUUGAAGUGAUUGUUGACACAGUUGAAGCAAGUAUCUCAUCAAAUACAGAUAUAAAAGACAUACUUGCAGCUGAAUUUUAUGUUCAGACUGCGGAGAGGGAGGUCCAGCGCAGAGUUUCCCUGACUAGAAGGAAGGGUUAAUCCUAGGGUAAAUCAAACAUGUAGGUCGGCAGUUCAGAAUGUCUUAGCUUCGGUGUUUCUGUAUCCAAAGUAGUGUUAGUGCGUGAAGGGCUUGUGAAGCUAUUCCAGAACUAGGCCGUUCUUGGACAUCAAACCGCAACUUCUGUGUUUAAUUGAGAUUGAUGACAUGCCUAUCAGAAAAGCCAUGAACCGAGUUGUUAAAUCCAUGAAGUUUGACACCUUUCAACUGGUUUCAAUCAUGUUGAUAUGUUCUGCAUCAGAUAAAUCAGCUGGUGGUUGGAACCCAAAAAGUGUGGUAAUUGAUGCCUUUACAAUGUGUUUAUGCUAAUGUUUCCAGAUCAGGAUCAGUUAUCUCUAAUGUCUGUCAAGUUAUGACCGAGGCAUCUCUGCUUUUGUUUUGGAUGAUUUUGAAGUCAGCCUUCAGAAUCCGCCAGUAAUCAACAUUAUAUAGGUAUUGAUAUGUGAAGAUACUGGAAAGAAUUACUUCUUUCCCUGUGUGAAAAAGCCAUGAUUUCUCAAUUAUUUAGUGGUAUGGUUUUUUUCUUCCCAUUAGGUUUUAUGCAAAGCAAUAUUGUUAGCGAGCAUUUAUAUUUUAAUAUAUCCUUAUAAUUACAUUUAAUAGUAAUUUUACAAAAAUGUUAUAUAUGUUCUAACUGCCAUCCUGAAUCCUCUCGUUUGGACCACUUCCGACACCUAAAAAUUCUAACCCACCUUAAAUUGCUCCCAUCGGAAGCUCUACUCCUUGAAAGUUCAUAAUCUUGACAUUUUCCUUCUUUGUUUUUAGUAUGCAAAAUUUUAAUUCUUAUAUUUUAAAAAAUUAUAUUGAUAUUCUUGUAGUUAAGGAAGUGAAACAGUUAGAUUUUUUUUUAAUUAUAUUAAUUUUUAGUGAUAAAAAUAUAUAAAAAAAAAAUAAUUUUAAGUUCGGUGAUGGACUACAUCGAUAGCGGACGCUAGUGUUCGUGGUGGUGCACCCCUCUCCCUUUCUCCUCGAUGGUGCACCCCUCUCGUCGCCCUCCACACCCCCUUGUCCUCUCCUUCUCUUUCUCUACUUGUCGCCCUCCAUCGAGCAGCGGACACUAGUGUCAGUGGUGGCGCACCACUCUCCCAUUCUCCUCGGUGUUGAGCAUGUCCGUCAUUUUUCCACACCCCCUUGUCCUCCCUUCGCCUUGUCAUUGUCUCCCGGUCCCGUUCCCUAACCUACUCUCCCUUCACCCUUCUAUCCAACUUAUUCAUCCCUCUUCAUUGACCAUGGAUGGAUGGAAUGUUGAUGAGUUCUUCGCUUACUUGGACAUCUGACCGUUGACUUCCAAGUGAUCGGCAAGCAGGAAUCGGAAACGCGAGGAGUCGAGGUUGGUCACCGACCUAAUCACCCUGUUGGGCGAAAACCCCGAUAGCUUCCAAGCGAAAAUCCCUAUCUAUAUUCUUCUAUAAUCUUGUUCAUAGCUUCGGCCUGAAUUGAUGAAGGUGUCAUCUUUCCUGGAGCUCACCUUCGCCGAUGACAUACACAGGACCUUGUUUCACCCCAUCUAGCAGGCGAUGUCAUCGUCUUCCACUCAACGUCACACCAAGAUAUCCAUGAUCGGUGCCAGGAACGUGGGCAUGACCAUCGCCCAAACGAUCAUGAUGGACAAGCUAGUGCCGGUGGAUGCUAAACCCGACAAGCUGUAAGGGGAGAUGCUGGACCUGCAACACGUCGUUGCCUUUCUCUCGCGCACUCAGAUCUUAGCAUCUCUGGACUAUACAAUGAUGGCGAACUCGGACAUCUACAUCAUCACGAUCGACGCUCGACAGAUCCCAGGGGAGAUACGACUGAACAUACUGUAGCGCAAUCUAACACUAUUCAAGGAGAUUGUGUUGCCACUAGUGUGAUACUCGCCAUGGAUGCUGUUGCUGGUGGUGUCAAAUUCGGUGGAUUGUGUUGACGUAAUCACCUGGAAGCUAUCGAGGUUUUCGCCCAAUAGGGUGAUCGAGUCGAGGACCAACCUCGACUCCUCAUGUUUCCGAUUCAUGCUCGCCGAUCACCUGGAAGCCAACUCUCAACCUCGACUCCUCGUGUUUUCGAUUCAUGCUCGCAAAUCACCUCGAUGGGGAGGGGGAUGGGUCCGCCACUACCUACGCAUUUUCGAUUCAUGCUCGCCAAUCACCUCGAGGGGGAGGGGGAGGGAUCCGCCACCGCCGACGCCAGUGACAUCAUCCACUACCAAAUUUAAAAUUAUUUUUUUACUUUUUAUUUUUAUGUUUCUAUCCAUAAAAACUAGAUCGUUUUAUUUUCGUAACUAUAAAAAUAUAAAUAUAGGGAUCUGAACACAAUGGACAUUUGCUCGUCUAUAGCAUAAUGAUAUUUCAUCAGUGUUGGUUGCCGCAUAGCGAAACUGGUGCAGUGGCUUCAGUCAGCAAUUGCAUCUGGUUUGUGUGUAAAGCUUUCGCAUCCUCACCUGUCCGAUAGCCCACCACAUGAACAAGCUUCAUGGAAGUGAAGCAACAACAUGUAUGUGCAUAUGCAUCAGGCAGCCAACCAAGAAGUUUUCUCGUUACAUGUAAAAGUAGAGCCAUUAGAUUCCAUAGAUGUCGGAAACAUAACAAGUUGAAAAGGUAGACUUCAACAAACGAUCGUUCACCGUCAGAUACCAUAGACAAGCAACAAUGUUACAUACUCCAUAUCAGAUGCAACCUGCAAGCCGAAGCACCUAAAAAUCACAAUGAGCAGCACCGGCAACCAGUCAAUUGCCGUCGUCAGGUUUGGAUGUUUCUCUCAUCUCAUCUACGCCAUCCUCCUACAAAGGUUCAUCGAUAAGUAGGAUAUCGGAUGAGAAACAAGUUUUCAAGCAAUGGCAAUUAAAUGAAAGUGUCUGAAUGUUUGUUGAAGCAGACAUAACACCUGCAUGUCGGAAGUCCACAACGUAAGGUUGUCACGUAGGAGCUGCAUUAUUAGAGUGCUGUCCUUGUAUGAUUCCUCUCCAAGAGUAUCCAACUCAGCAAUUGCUUCAUCAAAAGCCUAAAACCAGAGAAGCAGAGAGAGACAAACUCUUCAAUUAUAACGAUUGGUUGUUCCAAAAAUAUAACUAGUGAGCAAAAAGAUCCCAUUCAAAAGAAUUGGACCACCAAAAACAUCACAAAAAAGAUAAUAUAUAUCAACCAAGAAUGCCCCAAAGUUAGAAAAAAACGACAGACAUAAUGACAUUGCCUCAUUAGGUCAUAUCAAAAUAAAUCAGAGAGCUGAUCUCUGUGUUAUCUGGAGAGUGCAUCACUGUAGUAAGUGGAAAGAAAUGGGAACAUGAAACUUACUAAUCUUUGUACAUGAUAUGACGAGUGUAGACUUCUUCGGAACACUUUUGGAACAAAAUACAACUUCAUAAAACUACAAGAAGCUCCAUAAGAUCAAACAUAUAAACUGUCACACCACACCACACCACAUGUUAGAAAGCUUAGAAAUGUCAUGCGCAGUUAGCAACGCUACUCACGCUUCAACUAGUAACAAAAACAUUAAUUGCGACUAUGGAAUUAGAUGG
Molecule: long non-coding RNA, 79906 nt
Filed under: Musa acuminata (dwarf banana)
Lineage: Eukaryota; Viridiplantae; Streptophyta; Magnoliopsida; Zingiberales; Musaceae
Description: long non-coding RNA (MACU_LNC006292)
Source: RNAcentral